Molecule: long non-coding RNA, 49857 nt
Filed under: Physcomitrium patens
Lineage: Eukaryota; Viridiplantae; Streptophyta; Bryopsida; Funariales; Funariaceae
Description: long non-coding RNA (PPAT_LNC011273)
Source: RNAcentral
CGGCAUUCCAUCCUCAAACUGAUGGACAAACAGAGCGUGUUAAUCAAGUUUUGGAGCAAUAUUUAAGAUGUACCAUUAAUACCAACAAGAUGAUUGGACAACUCUUUUGCCAUUGACAGAGUUUGCUUACAAUAACACGGUACAUUCUUCUACAAAAUAAACUUCUUUCUUUGCUAAUUAUGGUUAUCAUCCACGACUUGAUACUUUUGACUUUUCAAAAGUUGAUAAUCCUGCUGCGAAAGAUUUGGCAAUUCAUUUAUCAGAGCUACAUGCAACGAUGAAGGCGUAGUUAAAAGAGGCUCAAGAACAACAAAAGGUCAAUGCGGAUGUCUAUCGAAAGGAACAACCAUCAUUCAUCUUGGGUGAUAAGGUAUGGCUACUUCGUCACAAUAUCAAGACCACUCGUCCUUGUGACAAGUUGGACUAUCGAAGGCUGGGACCAUUUUCUAUUUCUGUACAAAUCAAUCUAGUUGCAUAUCGUUUACAUCUAUUGGAGUCAAUGAAAAUCCAUCCAGUAUUCUAUGUGUCUCUUCUUGAACUAUACAAGACAGUGGACAUACCAAGAAGAUGAUAAGCUCCACCUCCUCCUAUAGAAGUGGACAAUAAUGAAGAGUUUGAAGUAGAAGAAGUCCUAGAUUCGAGGCGACGCCAAAAUAAAUUAGAAUAUCUUGUCUAUUGAAGCGGAUACGGUAUUAGUAAACACACAUGGGAGCCAAUAAAGAAUCUUAUAAAUGCAGCAAAGGCGGUGGAGGCUUUUCAUCGAUGACAUCGAUCAAAAUCAAGAUGAAAACCUUCUUUAUAAAAGAAACAACAUCUAGGCAAGAUAACAAUCUACUUUGAAUUCUUGUUCAUAGCUUCAUUGUAGUAGUGACGCUCAGGAGUUGUAGAACCAACAACCAGCAGAUUCAACUCAAGAGCCUUCAUUUGCUGACCUGCCAGACGAGACAUUCUGAUUGUCACAACCUUCAAGACGACGUAAUGGAGAUGAAGAUCUUCAAGAACGACAUGUUCUUCCUCGAGUAGAUGGCGAGAUACAACGCGUUUGGUAUCACGAUUUGGGAAGGGACUCCCGAUGUUUGGUGAUUUUGCUAGAGGUAGGAACAACUCUUGAUGGUGUUCCAAAUAUUCUAUUCAAAGGAAGUUACGAAGGCCUCAACAAUGAUCAAAUAACUGGGUGGUCUUCCCGCCCUGGUAUGGGAUACUACCGAUGGUUGAGAGGUCCUAUCAAUCAUCUUCGAAGAGAACAAAGAUUAGAGUAUGUGGCGAAUACAAUUCGUCGCAUCAUAGAUUUUCUCAACAUAUGAUGACCGCUCCUCGUGGAACUCGUCUCUAGAAGGGGGGGUAAUAUCACGGCCAUAAUCAUGUAAGCUAAUAAUUACAUAUACAAAUAAGUAGAAGUAAAUAAUAGUAGGUAAAAGUAAGUUAAUUUUAUAAUAUUUAAUAUAGAAGCUUCUUAGAAGCUCGUAGAUGUUGCUUUGACUUCAUAGGUGUCUUUAAUUGACUUUUUGGAUUAGAGACGUGGUCAAUAAGUCGGCCAUGUGCCACAUAUGUUGUUAGCUUGAAGAUCAAGCUAACUAUGUGGCCCACAUGGAGAAAAACUUGCCUUCUAAGUCAAGGCAUGUGUCCUACAAAGGAGAUGACAAGAAUGAAGAAGCCUUCACUCUUGUCUCUAUAUAUACUAUCUAACUAGGGACUACAUGGCGACGUUCUAUUGGACUUCCCAUAUGUGUUGACUUUGUAGGACACAUGCCUUGACUUACAAGGCAAGUUUUUCUAUGUGUGGGCCACAUAGUUAGCUUGAUCUUCAAGCUAACAACAUGUGUGGCACAUGGCCAACUUGUUGACCACGUUUCUAAUCCAAAAAGUCAAUUUAAGAUAGCUAUGAAGUCAAAGGAGCGUCUAGGAAGUUUCUAGGAAGCUUUUAUAUUAAAUAUUAUAGAAUUAACUUACUUUUAUCUACUUUUACUUACUUCUACUUAUUUCUAUAUGUAAUUAUUAGCUUACAUGAUUAUGGCCGUGACAUUACCCCCCCUUCUAGAGACGAGUUCCACGAGGAGCGGUCAUCAUAUGUUGAGGAAAUCUAUGAUGCGACGAAUUAUAUUCGCCACAUAUUCUGAUCUCUGUUGUCUUCGAAGAUGAUUGAUAGGGCCUCUCAACCAUCGGUAGUGUCCCAUACCAGGGCGAGAAGACCACCCAGUUAUUUGAUCAUUGUUGAGACCUUCGUAACUUCCUUCGAAUAGAAUAUUUGGAACACCAUCAGGAGUUGUUCCUACCUCUAGCAAAAUCACCAAACAUCGAGAAUCCCUUCCCAAAUCGUGAUACCAAACGCGUUGUAUCUCACCAUCUGUUCGAGGAAGAACAUGUCGUUCUUGAAGAUCUUCAUCUCGAUUGCGACGUUUUGAAGGUUGUGACAAUCGUAAUGUCUCGUCCGGCAGGUCAGCAAACGAAGGUUCUUGAGUUGAAUCCGCUGGUUGUUGACUCUCCAUCUAAUUAGCGUCAGAAUUGCAAAGAAGUUACAAACAAGGAUAUGAAAUUGAAUGUUAUCUUGGCCCAAUCUUGUCUCUUUUAUAAGAGAGAUUUUCAUCUUGGUUUUGUUGGAUGUCGUUGAUGAAAAACUUUGACUUUAGCUGAUGCAUUUCCUAGAUUCUUGGAUGGCUCCCAUGUGCGUUUACUAAUAUCAUAUCCGCGCCAAUGAACAAGAUAUUCCAGCUUAUUUCGGCGCCACCUUGAGUCUAAUAUCUCUUCCACCUCAAAUUCUUCAUUAUUAUCUACUUCUAUAGGAGGCGGUGGCAUUUGUCUUCUUCCUUGUAUAUCCACUGUCUUAUAUGGUUCAAGAAGAGACAUGUGGAAUAUAGGAUGGAUCCUCAUUGACUCCGGUAGAUGUAACGGAUAUGCAACUGGGUUGAUCUGUUCAGAAACAGAAAAGGGGCCAAGCCUACGAUAGUCCAACUUGUCAGAAGGUCGAGUAGUCUUGAUAUUGCGACGAAGUAGCCAUACCUUAUCACCCACGUUGAUUUGUGGUUGCUCCUUACGAUAUAGAUCUGCGUUAAUCUUUUGUCUUUCUUGAGCUUCCUUCAAUUGCGUCUUCAUUAUUGCAUGUAACUCUGACAACCGAUUUGCCAUAUCUUCUGCUGCAGGAUUAUCAACUUUUGAAAAAUCAAAAGUAUCAAGUCGUGGAUGAGAGCCAUAAUUGGUAAAGAAAGGUAUUUGUUGUGUGGAAGAAUGUACUGUAUUAUUAUAAGCAAACUCUGCCAAUGGCAGAAGGGUUUUCCAAUCAUCUUGUUGGUAGUUGAUAGUACACCUUAAAUAUUGCUCCAAGACUUGGUUUACGCGCUCUGUUUGUCCAUCAGUUUGAGGAUGGAAAGCCAAAGAUAGCUUUAUGUCCACUUUUAAAAUCUUGAAAAGGGUCCUCCAAAAUCUUGACACAAAUUGAGUUCCCCUAUCCGAUAUGAUAUCUUUAGGUAAUCCAUGAUAGCGAUAGAUAUUAUCAAUGAAAAGCUUAGCUGUUUCUUCACCUGUGAUAGAUUUUGUACAUGGCACAAAAUAUGCCAUCUUGGUGAAACGAUCUACUAUCACAAAUAUAGAAUCAUAAGAUCUUGAGCUUGGAAGAUCUGUGAUGAAAUCCAUAGAAACAGAAGUCCAUGGUUGUUCUGGUAUAGGUAAUGGCUGAAGAAGUCCGUAAGGUCGAUGACGAGGAAUUUUUGAUCUUGAACAAAUAUCACAUGAUUGUACAAAGUCUUUGACUGACUUCCACAUUUGUGGCCACCAAAAAUCUCUUGAUAUGAGUUCCAAAGUCUUAUUAUAUCCAAAGUGCCCUGCUGCUGGAAAGUCAUGACGUGCUUGAAGAACACGUAAACGUGCUUCUCCUUCUGGAACAUAUAGGCGUCCUUCUAAAUAUAAUAGAUUAUUCUUGAACUCGAACUUAGAAGGAUCAUGAGACUUGGAAGAAUUAUUCUCGAUAUCAUAAACAAGAGGGUCUGAGGACAUACUGGACUGGAUUUGCUUGAGAAAAGUUGAAUCAACAAUCAAUGUUGAUUUCAUUGCUCGGAGAUGAAAUUGCUCCGGUCUCAAGAGGACCGUUCUUUGUUGCUCAAAAGCUGCAUCUCCUUCUUUUGGUGCAAAAUAAGAACGUCUAGAUAGGGCAUCAGACAAACCUUGUUGUUUUCCUGGCCGAUAAGUGAUAAUGAACUCGAAUCUUGACAAAGACAUACUCCAACGAGCUUAACGACGAUUCAACACGCGUGCUGACAUGAAAUACCUGAGGUUCUUGUGAUCUGUAUACACAGUGACUGGACUAGAAGCGCCUUCUAGAUAAUGACACCAUUCUUGAAAGGAAUCCACGAUCGCAAAAAGUUCUUUAUCGUGGAUCUCAUAAUUGAUCUCGGCUGCUGAGAAUUUUCUUGAAUGAAAAGCUAUCGGAUGAAGUUUGUCAUCUGUUCCCAUUUGUGAUAAAACUGCACCCAAUGCAAAAUCUGAUGCAUCUGUUUCCGUAAAAAAUGCCUUGAAAAAAUCAACACGAUAUAAGACUGGUGCAGAGACAAACGAUGUCUUCAAGGCUUCAAAUGCUGCUUCCGCUUCUUGAUUCCAUUGGAAUUUAUCUUUACUAGUCAAGCGUGUAAGUGGAGCUGCAACUCGUGAGAAAUCUUUGAUGAAGAUCCGAUAGUAAUUGGCAAAUCCCAAGAAACAUUGGACAUCUCUUACUGUCUUUGGAAUCUUCCAAUCCAUGAUUGUUUGGACUUUCUUAGAAUCCAUCAUGAGACCAUCAUUUGAAAUAAUGUAUCCUAAAAUGUCAACUUGAGUAGUGUGAAAUACACACUUUUCCAUCUUGGCGUACAAUCCUGCAUCUCUAAGUUUUUGUAAUACUUGACGAACAUGUAUUUCAUGUUCUUCGACGUUCUUAGAAUAGAUGAGGAUAUCGUCUAGAUAGCAUACGACAAAAUUAUCUAAGAAUUCACGAAAUACAUCAUUCAUGAGAUGUUGAAAAGCAGCUGGUGCAUUUGUGAGUCCAAAGGGCAUGACAUUAUAUUCGAAAUUUCCAUACCUGGUUCGAAACGUAGUCUUCCAUUCAUCUCCUUCUUUGAUCCAUACUAGAUUAUAUGUUCCUCUUAAAUUUAUUUUUGUAUAGAUCUUAGCUUGAUUCAACUGGUCAAGGAGUCUUGAUAUCAAAGGUAAUGGAUACCUGUUCUUGAUUGUGAUCUCGUUGAGUCCUCGAUAAUCAACACACAUUCGUAAAGAUCCAUCUUUUUUCUUUACGAAUAGAAUUGGAGCUCCUGCUGGAGAUUUUGAAUGGCGUAUGAAAUUCUUCGCUAAAUUCUCGUCAAUAUAUGUCUUGAGUUCAGCCAUCUCAUCUUGCGAUAAACUGUAAAUUGGUCCAAAUGGUGGCUGAGUUCCUUCCUUGAGGUCAAUUGAACAAUCAUAUGGGCGAUGCUCAGGAAGAAUAUCUGCAUUCUUUUUCUCAAAAACGUCUUGAUACUCCUGAUAUUGACUUGGAAUGCUAAUUGAAGUCUUUACGUUUUCAGAAAUAGGUGCAGCAUAAAUAGCAAAAGUUGAUCUUUCUUUUGCUGCGUGUAUAAAUGCUUUUGCACCUAUCAGUACGGGUUUUACUAUACUAGACUUAUAAUUUUUUACUUGCUUGGUAGAACUAUUAAUAAUGCUCUGGAAAAAGUCAAGUUUACGCAAAUUCCAAUCUAUUCGAGGGUUAUAUUUUUCUAGCCAGGAUAAACCUAAAAUAACUGGAUUGGACGGGGAUUUAAUUAUGUUAAAAGCUAUGUAGCUAUCAAUACCGUUUAUUGUUACUUUUAUAGGAUGAGUUUCAUGAGUGACAUCUCCAGAAGACAAGGGACGACCAUCUAUGACUUCUACAUGUACUGGUUUAGGUUUCUGUACAAAAGGUAUUUUACGACUUUUAACAAAUUGUUCAUCUAAAAAACAUGCUGAGGCUCCCGAAUCUAAUAAAGCAGAGGCUUUGUAAUUCUUAGGUCCUAAAUAUAAGUCUAUUAUAAAACAAGGAGAGGGUUCUGAGGAGAGGAUAGGACCUUCAUUAGGAAUUGUACAAGGUUCCAACUGCACGGUCCCUAUUGUAGCUGGACGAAUCCGUUUUCUGACAUGUUGUCUUCUUUGACCGUCGUACCCCUCAUUUUAUAGUUGCGUCGUUUCUUUGGACAAUGUUGAGCAGUGUGCUUAGGUUCUCCGCAAUAUAAACAUAAUCCUUCUUGAUGACGACGAAUCUUUUCUUGCUCAGUUAGGGGUUUAAAAUGUACCGCGUCAAUUUGCAUGUCUUCUAUUUCCAAAUGUACGUUUGGCAAAGAUGUUGAUGUUGCGAUUGAGUAAUAACGUUGAGGUUUCCGUGAAUGAUUCUCGAAUCGAAAUUCGAAAAGUCGAUUAUCACAUUUUACCGCAAAAUCGAUUGCUUGACUCAAAGUUUGAGGAUCAGGUAAGUUGAGCAUCAAUUUCUUUACUUUGUAUUGCAAUCUAUAAAAAAAUUGACUGAUGAGUGCAGCAUCAUCCCACUUGAUGUCAAUUGCAAGUUGUCGAAAUUGUGAAGCACAUACUGUUACUGAGCGAUUUCCUUGUCGCAAAAUUCGGAUCUUAUUUGUUGCAACACGAGUUGCAUCGUGUUCACCAUACAUAGAUCGAAACUUCGCCAAAAAAGCUUCCAAAUUGUCCAAUAUUGGAUUUCGUUGUUCAAGGAAAGACGAAAACCACGAUAAUGCAGAACUAGAAAGUAGAGUGCCAAUAAACCUGACUUGUGAUCCUGGAGUUGGAUAGCUUUGCGGUUGAAGUUCAAUUGCCAAUUGUACUUGAUUGAUGAACCCUCGAAACUUUGAUCUCGUACCAUCAAAUUUCUCAGGUUAGGCAAUUCUUGGUUCUCUAGUGCUUAUAGGGUGUUGUAUAAUUGGAGAAGGAACGUGAUUUGUUGUAGAUGUUGAAGCAGCUCCGAUCAUCUCUAUAUCUCCACUUUCUGCUAUUCUUGUUCUUUCCUGUGUUGGUGAAUUGAGUUGAUGCAUCGCAAGCAUUAACUCCCUCAUUUGCUCUUGUAUUUGUGCCAUUGCACUCUUCAUUUCAACAAGCUCUGUCAUAAUGACACUAAGAAGAAAAAUUUGUUUGAUAUUGCUCAAGACAAAAGAAAAGAAAGACUUGAUAACAAAGAAGAUACUAAGAACAAUAUCAGUUUAGAAGUGGGUAAUUCGCAAACUUCUAAUAUGCUUAUGUCUUGUCAAGAGAAAGGGGUAAUCCAUUCUUACUCAAGAAAAAACAAAGCUCUGAUAUUAUAAGUGUACUCUUGUCAAUCUGUCAAGGACAAAGACUCGAUGAGGGAAAAUAUACACCAAAAGACUAUCUCGAUAUAAUAAGUCAAAAUAUAAACAAGUAGGUAUAUUAAAAGGAAACUGGAAUGGCUAUUGCCACAAGACAAGAAACUAAAGACUCUUGAACUUGGACUAGAAGCAAGAAAGGAGUUGACAAGAAUGAAGAAGCCUUCACUCUUGUCUCUAUAUAUACUAUCUAACUAGGGGCUAUGUGGCGACGUUCUAUAGGACUUCCAAUAUGUGUUGACUUUAUAGGACACAUGCCUUGACUUACAAGGCAAGUUUUUCUACGUGUGGGCCACAUAGUUAGCUUGAUCUUCAAGCUAACAACAUGUGUGGCACAUGGCCAACUUGUUGACCACGUUUCUAAUCCAAAAAGUCAAUUAAAGACACCUAUGAAGUCAAAGCAACGUCUAGGAAGUUUCUAGGAAGCUUCUAUAUUAAAUAUUAUAGAAUUAACUUACUUUUAUCUACUUUUACUUACUUCUACCUAUUUCUAUAUGUAAUUAUUAGCUUACAUGAUUAUGGCCGUGACAUGUUGCUUUGACUUCAUAGGUGUCUUUAAUUGACUUUUUGGAUUAGAAACGUAGUCAAUAAGUUGGCCAUGUGCCACAUAUGUUGUUAGCUUGAAGAUCAAGCUAACUAUGUGGCCCACAUAGAGAAAAACUUGCCUUCUAAGUCAAGGCAUGUGUCCUACAAAGUCAACACAUAUUGGAAGUCCUAUAGAACGUUGCCACAUAUCUCCUAGUUAGAUACUAUAUAUAGAGACAAGAGUGAAGGCUUCUUCACUCUUGUCAACUCCUUUCUUGCUUCUAGUCUAGUUUUAAGGGUCUCUAGUUUUCUUGUCUUUUAGCAACAUCCAUUCUAGUUUCUCUUUCAAUAUAUAUACUUGUUUAUAUAUAUUUUGUUACUUCUCUUUGAGUGAAGGCUCACUUGGCUGAAUUGUUUUUUCAUCAAGUUCUUCUCCUUGACAACACCACAUAAUUAGCUUGUUAUAUAACAUACCAACACAUAACAUGCAUGGUUAACUUAUUGACCAAGUUUAAAACCUACCAAUCAACUAUAAAUACAUAUAAAUUUAAAAUUUUGUCUUUGAAGCUUGUAGAAAGCUUUGCUAGAAGAUAUUAUAAAAUUAAUCUACUUUUAUCUACUUCUAUUUAAUCAUAAAGAUAAUUAUUAGAAUAAAUAUAUAUAUUUUUUUGAUAUUAUUUCUUAUUUUAAAAUGAAUUUUGGAGCAGUCAUCAUCUUUCAUGGAUCUUGUGAUUCUUCAUCUUUAUUUUCAUGGAUGUCAUUAACAAAAAGCAUCAACCUUUUUUGGUGCAUUUAUAAUAUUCUUUGCAAGCUUCCAUAUGUAUUAUUAAUAUCAUAUCUAUUGUCAUAUUAUGUGUUGACUUGUUUAGAAAUGCAAUGAGUACUUGGUUGUGGAAGAUAAAGUUGUGUUUUACAAGUGUCUAAGAAAUCUUAUUAAGUUUCAUCUAUAUAAGAAGAAUGUAAUUCAAAUUUCAAUUAAGAUUUUCUAAAAGCUAAUACAAAGUGUUCAAAAAUAUUCUUCUUAGUAAUUUCAACUAUAUAAAAAUUUCAAUUAUCUUAUUACUUUUAUAAUAAGGCAAUUUUGACUUUUCUUUGUAAAUCCUAAUUCUAAUCAAUGAGCUUUAGCAAGCUAUAAAUCUUAAUCUAAUUGUCUAAUUGGUACAUAAUUUUUUACACAAAUGCCAUUAUAAGUCUUCUAUGUAUUCAAAAAAAUUCAAUCUAAUCUAACUUACAAACUGUGAGAAAACAUCCAAAAAGACUGUGCUAAGAUCACUUGGUUACCAACUCAAAAAUUGAUGCAAAUAUUCUCAUAGUGAUUUCUCGUUCUCCAACUAUUAACUUUAAUUCAAAUUAAUGUAUAACUUGAUCUUCAAGUCUUCUAUUACUAUGCCAAAUUUUAUUUUGUUUUGAUUAGUAGAUCAUUAGAUAUCAUAGAAAUCCUAUCCAACUUCAAACUGCCAACUUCCACUACCCUCUUGUAUCAAAAAACAAAUAUCUUUCAACUCCACCAUUAAAAUAAUACAAAAUUUUAUACACACUUAAUAAACCUAAUCAAUGAAGCAAUGUCAACUUUUAAACUAUAGAUGUGAUAUCAAUUAUAUAAACUAGCAAAGAGUACUAGCUCCAAUUAUAUUGCAUAAAUUCAAAGUCACUAAUAUAAACCUUGACUUUGAAUAACAAUUGCAAAGUCAUCUCAAAUCCUAUAAAAUCAAUCUUUAUGCCUCUAAAAUAAAUUUGAAGUUAAUUUUUUAAUUCUAUACCUUAAUUUUCAAAUAUCCUCCAUAUUUAGUUCUAAGCAGUCAUUUUAGUAUCUGGAGGUCUGAUUUUGACCGUGUUCAUCAAAUAGUCAAUCCUUGGAUAUCAAUCCAACUUAUCUUAGGGAUGUUUUAGACCAAUUCUACCUUUAACUUUAUCUUAAUAUCAAUCAUACUAAUUAUUUAUUUCUUCCAUCCUAUUUUUACUAAUUUAUAGCUUUUUAAGAUAAUAAAAUAGUUUCUACAAUUUAGAAGUUAAAUUAUUAACCAACAUUUAAUCUAUUAUCUAUUAAGACAAAAAAAUAAACUAAGAGUCUUUUAUAAAAUCCAUGUUUAAAUAUCUUGAAUUAUUAUUAAAUCAAGAUAAUUAGAUAUUAAUUAAAAAAAUAUUUUUGAUUAUAUUUUUAUUAUAUAGUCAUAUUAUAACAUAACAUUAUAUCAAUGAAUAAGAUAUUCUAAUUUAUUUUGGUAUUGUAUUAAAUCUAAGACUUCCAUCUCAAACUCUUGAUUAUUAUUUGUUUCUAUAGGAGGAGGUGGCAUUUGUCUUUUUCUAGAGAUAUUUACUAUCUAAUAUAGCUCAAAAAAAGACACAUGGAAUAUAGGAUGGAUCUUUAUAGACUUUUAUAAAUGUAAUCAAUAAGGAAUAGAACUAACUUCUUUGCAAAUAGGAAAAAAUUUAAGCCCACAAUAAUCCAACUUGUUAUAAAGAUGAAUAGUCUUGAUAUUGCAACAAAAUAAUUAUAUCUUGACAUUCAUAUUGAAUUAUGAUUUUUCCUUGUAAUAGGCAUCUACAUUGAUCUUUUGUCAUUUUUGAGUUUCUUUUAAUUGCACCUUUAUUGUUGCAUAUAGAUUUCACAAAUAAUUUUUUAAAUCUUCUUCUUUUAAAUUAUUAACUUUUAAAAAGUCAAAAAUAUCAAAUCAUAUAUAAUAAUCAUAAUUGAUUAAAAAAAUGUUUUUUUUGUAUAGAAUAAUAUAUUAUAUUAUUAUAAAAAAAUCUCUACUAAUAGCAAAAGUUUUGUCCAAUUAUCUUAUUGGCAGUUGAUGAUACAUCUUAAAUACAAUCCCAAAACUUAGCUUAUAUACUCUAUUCGUCCAUCAAUUUGAAAAUAAAAAGCUAAAGAAAUCUUUAUAUCCACCUUUAGAAUCUUAAAAAAGAUUUUUUCAAAUCUUAAUACAAAUUAAGACCUCUUAUUUGAUAUAAUAUCCUUAGGCAAUCCUUAAUAAUGAUAGAUGUUAUCAAGAAAAAGCUUAGCUAUUGCUUCACUUGUGAUAGAUUUUGUAUAUGAUAGAAAAUAUGCUAUCUUGAUAAAAUAAUCUAUUAUCACAAAUAUAAAAUCAUAUGAACUUGAGAUAGAAAGAUCUAUAAUAAAAUCUAUAGAAACAAAUGAUUAUGAUUGUUCCUAAAUAGGUAAUAGCUAAAAAAGUCUAUAAAAUCAAUAACGAGGAGUUUUUGAUCUUGAACAAAUGUCACAUAAUUAUACAAAGUCUUUGACUAUCUUUCACAUUUGAAGCCACCAAAAAUCUUUAGAUAUUAGUUCCAAAAUCUUAUUGUAUCCAAAUGUUUGGUUAUUAAAAAUGUCAUGAUGAACUUAAAAAACUCGUAAUUGUGCUUCACCUUUGGGAAUGUAUAAUCAUCUCUCAAAAUAGAGUACAUUAUUUUUUGUAUUCAAACUUAGAGGUAUUAUGAGAUUUAAAAAAAUAUAUUCUUAAUUUUAUGAACAAGAAUAUCAAAAGAUAUAUUCAAUAUUUAAUAUGUUGAGUCAAAAGUUAGUGUUGAUUUAAUUGCUCGAAGAUAAAAAUGCUCUUCUUUUAAGAAAAUUAUUUUUUAUUGAUCAAAAGCUAUAUUUUUUUUCUUUUGAUACAAGAUAAGAACAUCUAACAAAGGAAUUUUACUAACCUUGUUGUUUUUUGGAUCAAUAUAUAAUCUAAAAAUCAAAUCUUGAUAAAGACAUGCUCCAAAAAAUUAGGCAAAAAUUCAAAAUACAUGCCAAUAUAAAGUACUUAAGAUUCUUAUGAUUUAUGUAUAGGAUGAUUAGAUUAGAAGUAUUUUCUAGACAAUGACGCCAUUCUUAAAAUGAUCCACAAUUGUAAGAAUUUUUUUGUCAUAGAUUUUGUAGUUAAUCUUGACUACUAAAAAAUUCUUAGAAUAGAAAUCUAUUGAGGAGAGCUUAUCAUUUGCUCUCAUUUGUGACAAAACAACAUCCAUAGCAAAGUUUGAUUCAUUUGUUUCAUGAAGAAUGCCUUAAUAAAGUUAACGUGAUAUAAGAUUGAUAUAAAAAUAAAUGUUCUCUUUAAAGCUUCAAAAGAUGUUUCAAUUUCUUUGCUUCACUAAAGUUUUUUUUUUACAUGUUGGCAUGUAAGACAAGAUGUAAUUUGAAAAAGUUUUUCAUGAAUAUUUGGUAAUAAUUUACAAAUCUUAAAAAACAUUACAUAUCUUUGAUUAUUUUUAAAAUCUUUUAGAAAUAAGACUAAUAUAUCUCAAAAAUCCAAAAUUCUUCCAAUCCACAAUAAUAUAUGGCCUCAUCACAAAAUAAGACAAAACAAAUCAGAACAAAAUUGAACGGAACUAAAUAAAAUAGGACAUGAAAGAUAAAAUUGAGCAAAAAAAAAUAAACAAAAAAAAAAAAGAUCUAAACAGAAAGAUGCAAAAUCAAACUUUACGAAGAGAAAGGAUCUAAAGCCAUACCUAACCAGAUGCCUUAAAGAUCCUAGCCAAUCCUAUUUAUACCUUGUCCUACCACCCUGGACUUUCUAGAGUCUUAAUAGGUAGUAGAUUCUAUCUAAAUAACCACCUUAAAUUCUUUUAGUUUAAAAGGUUCCAUAAUAGGUCCUACUUAGAUAACUACCUUAAGUUUUUUUUAGAAGGUUUUAUGGUGGAAUCCAUCUAAACACUGCCCUAAAUUCUUUCUAAAAUAUUCUGCAGUGGAUCUUACUUGGUCUACUAAGCUAACCUCAAUUCUAGAAACUUCCAUGGUCUAAUUAUCUAUAUAAUUAUCUUCUCUAUAUCUUAUUAUAUUUUAAAUCAAUAAUAGUGUUGAUUUUUUUAGGAUCCAUUAUAAGACUAUUUUUUGAAAUGAUCUACCUUAAGAAAUCAAUUUAAAAAGUGUAAAAUACAUACUUUUUCUUCGUGGCAUAUAAUCUUGGAUCUUUUAAUUUUUGUAACAUACAUCAAAUAUAAAAUUCAUGCUCUUUUGUAUUCUUAGAAUAAAUUACGAUAUCAUCUAAAUAUUAGACAAUAAAAUCAUCAAAAAACUCAUAAAAAAACAUCAUUCAUUAGAUGUUGAAAAGCAACUAGUAUGUUUGUAAGUCCAAAAGACAUGACAUUAUAUUUGAAAUAUACAUACUCAGUUCAAAACAUAGUUUUUUAGUCAUCUCUUUCUUUAAUGCAUACUAAAUUAUAUGUUUUUCUUAAAUUUAUUUUAAUAUAGAUUAUUAUUUUAUUUAGUUAAUCAAGAUAUCCUAAAAUCAAAGAUAGAAAAUAUUUAUUCUUCAUGGUCAUCUUGUUGAGUCCUCAAUAGUCCACUCAUAUUUUUAGAGAUUCAUAUUUUUUCUUCACAAAUAAGAUAGGAGCCUUGAUUAUAGAUUUAGAAUAGCAUAAAAAGUUCUUUGCUAAAUUCGUUCUAUAGGACGUUCUAUAGGACCUCCAAUAUGUGUUGACUUUGUAGGACACAUGCCUUGACUUAGAAGGCAAGUUUUUCUCCAUGUGGGCCACAUAGUUAGCUUGAUCUUCAAGCUAACAACAUAUGUGGCACAUGGCCGACUUAUUGACCACGUCUCUAAUCCAAAAAGUCAAUUAAAGACACCUAUGAAGUCAAAGCAACAUCUACGAGCUUCUAAGAAGCUUCUAUAUUAAAUAUUAUAAAAUUAACUUACUUUUACCUACUAUUAUUUACUUCUACUUAUUUGUAUAUGUAAUUAUUAGCUUACAUGAUUAUGGCCGUGAUAUUACCCCCCCUUCUAGAGACGAGUUCCACGAGGAGCGGUCAUCAUAUGUUGAGAAAAUCUAUGAUGCGACGAAUUGUAUUCGCCACAUACUCUAAUCUUUGUUCUCUUCGAAGAUGAUUGAUAGGACCUCUCAACCAUCGGUAGUAUCCCAUACCAGGGCGGGAAGACCACCCAGUUAUUUGAUCAUUGUUGAGGCCUUCGUAACUUCCUUUGAAUAGAAUAUUUGGAACACCAUCAAGAGUUGUUCCUACCUCUAGCAAAAUCACCAAACAUCGGGAGUCCCUUCCCAAAUCGUGAUACCAAACGCGUUGUAUCUCGCCAUCUACUCGAGGAAGAACAUGUCGUUCUUGAAGAUCUUCAUCUCCAUUACGUCGUCUUGAAGGUUGUGACAAUCAGAAUGUCUCGUCUGGCAGGUCAGCAAAUGAAGGCUCUUGAGUUGAAUCUGCUGGUUGUUGGUUCUACAACUCCUGAGCGUCACUACUACAAUGAAGCUAUGAACAAGAAUUCAAAGUAGAUUGUUAUCUUGCCUAGAUGUUGUUUCUUUUAUAAAGAAGGUUUUCAUCUUGAUUUUGAUCGAUGUCAUCGAUGAAAAGCCUCCACCGCCUUUGCUGCAUUUAUAAGAUUCUUUAUUGGCUCCCAUGUGUGUUUACUAAUACCGUAUCCGCUUCAAUAGACAAGAUAUUCUAAUUUAUUUUGGCGUCGCCUCGAAUCUAGGACUUCUUCUACUUCAAACUCUUCAUUAUUGUCCACUUCUAUAGGAGGAGGUGGAGCUUAUCAUCUUCUUGGUAUGUCCACUGUCUUGUAUAGUUCAAGAAGAGACACAUAGAAUACUGGAUGGAUUUUCAUUGACUCCAAUAGAUGUAAACGAUAUGCAACUAGAUUGAUUUGUACAGAAAUAGAAAAUGGUCCCAGCCUUCGAUAGUCCAACUUGUCACAAGGACGAGUGGUCUUGAUAUUGUGACGAAGUAGCCAUACCUUAUCACCCAAGAUGAAUGAUGGUUGUUCCUUUCGAUAGACAUCCGCAUUGACCUUUUGUUGUUCUUGAGCCUCUUUUAACUACGCCUUCAUCGUUGCAUGUAGCUCUGAUAAAUGAAUUGCCAAAUCUUUCGCAGCAGGAUUAUCAACUUUUGAAAAGUCAAAAGUAUCAAGUCGUGGAUGAUAACCAUAAUUAGCAAAGAAAGAAGUUUAUUUUGUAGAAGAAUGUACCGUGUUAUUGUAAGCAAACUCUGUCAAUGGCAAAAGAGUUGUCCAAUCAUCUUGUUGGUAUUAAUGGUACAUCUUAAAUAUUGCUCCAAAACUUGAUUAACACGCUCUGUUUGUCCAUCAGUUUGAGGAUGGAAUGCCGAAGAUAGUUUUAUAUCCACUUUAAGAAUCUUGAAAAGAGUCCGCCAAAAUCUUGAUACAAAUUGAGUUUCCAUAUCUCAUAUAAUAUCCUUGGGUAAUCCAUGAUAGCGAUAGAUAUUGUCAAGAAAGAGCUUAGUUGUUUCUUCACUUGUGAUAAAUUUUGUACAUGGUACAAAAUGUGCCAUCUUGGUAAAACGAUCUACUAUCAUGAAUAUAGAGUCAUAAGAACCUAAGAUUGGAAGAUCCGUGAUGAAGUCCAUAGAAAUAGAAGACCAUGGUUGUUCUGGAAUGGGUAAUGGCUGAAGAAGUCCAAAAGGUCGAUGACGAGGAGUUUUUGAUCUUGAGCAAACAUCACAUGAUUGUACAAAAUCUUUAACUGCUUUCCACAUUUGAGGCCACCAAAAAUCCCUAGAUAUCAGCUCCAAAGUCUUAUUAUAUCCAAAAUGUCCUGUUCUUGAGGGUCGUGACGAGCUUGAAGAACAUGUAAACGUGCUUCUCCUUCUAGAACAUAUAGGCGUCCUUCAAAAUAGAGUAGGUUGUUCUUGAAUUCAAAUUUAGAUAGAUCAUGAGAUUUAGAAGAAUUGUUCUUGAUAUCACAAACAAGAGGGUCUGAAGACAUACUUAACUGGACUUGCUUAAGAAAAGUUAAAUCAACAGUCAAUGUUGAUUUUAUUGCUCGAAGAUGAAAUUGCUUCGGCUUCAAGAGAACUGUUCUUUGUUGCUCAAAAGCUGCAUCUCCUUCUUUUGGUGCAAGAUAAGAACGUCUAGACAAGGCAUCAAAUAAACCUUGUUGUUUUCCUGGCCAAUAAGUGAUGAUGAACUCGAAUCUUGAUAAAGACAUGCUCCAACGAGCUUGGCGAUGAUUUAAUACGCGUGCUGACAUAAAAUAUUUGAGGUUCUUGUGAUCCGUAUACACGAUGACUGGACUAGAAGCGCCUUCUAGAUAAUGACGCCAUUCUUGAAAAGAAUCCACAAUUGUAAGAAGUUCUUUGUCGUGGAUCUCAUAAUUGAUUUCUGCUGCUGAGAAUUUUCUUGAAUGAAAGGCUACUGGAUGAAGUUUGUCAUUUGUUCCCAUUUAUGAUAAAACCGCACCCAGAGCAAAGUCCGAUGCAUCUGUUUCCAUAAAGAAUGCUUUGAAAAAAUCAACACAAUACAAGAUUGGUGCAGAAACAAACGUUGUCUUUAAAGAUUCAAAAGCAACUUCCGCUUCUUGAUUCUAUUGGAGUUUGUCUUUACAAGUCAAACGUGUAAGUGGAGCUACAACUCGAGAGAAGUCUUUGAUGAAGAUCCGAUAGUAGUUAGCAAAUCCCAAAAAACAUUAGACAUCUCUUACCAUUUUUGGGAUCUUCCAAUCUAUAAUAGUUUGAACUUUCUUAGGAUCCAUUAUAAGUCCAUCAUUUGAAAUGAUGUAACCUAAGAAAUCGACUUGAGUAGUGUGGAAUACACACUUUUCUAUCUUGGCAUAGAGUCCUACAUCUCUUAAUUUUUGUAACACACGAUGAACAUGAAGUUCAUGUUCUUCUAGAUUCUUAGAAUAGAUCAAGAUGACGUUUAGAUAACAUACCACAAAAUCGUCCAAAAACUCUCGAAAAACAUCAUUCAUUAGAUGUUAAAAAGCUGCUGGUGUAUUUAUAAGUCCAAAAGGCAUGACGUUGUAUUCAAAAUGUCCAUACCUAGUUCGAAACGCAGUCUUCCAUUCAUCUCCUUCUUUGAUGCGUACUAGAUUGUAUGCUCUCCGAAGAUCUAUUUUUGUAUAGAUCUUAGCUUGAUUCAACUGAUCAAGAAGUCUAGAUAUUAAAAGUAGUGGAUACCUAUUUUUGAGGAUAAUCUUGUUGAGUCCUCGAUAAUCAACACACAUCCGCAAUGAUCCAUCUUUUUUCUUCACAAAUAGAAUUGGAGCUCCUGCUGGAGAUUUAGAAUGGCGUAUGAAAUUCUUGGCUAGAUUUUCUUCAAUAUACUCCUUGAGUUCAACUAACUCAUUUUGUGAUAAACUAUAGAUUGGUCCAAAUGGUAGUUAUUCUCCUUCUAGAAGGUCAAUUGAACAAUCAUAGGGACAAUGUUCCGGGAGUGUAUCCGCAUUUUUAUUUUCAAAUACAUCUUGAAAUUCUUGAUAUUGGCUUGGAAUGCCACUUGAAGUCUUUUCACCAAUAGAAACGGGUGUAGCAUAAAUAAUGUAUGAUGAUUCUUUUAUAGCAGCAUGCAAAAAAGCUUUUGCACCUAUAAAUAUGGGUUUAAUUGAACUGGACUUAUGACUCUCUACUUGAUUAACUAUACUAUUAGUUAUACUUUUAGAGAAAGUAAGAGUUUGAGAAAUCCAGUCUAUUUGAGGGUUGUAUUUUUCUAACCACGAUAAACCUAAAAUGACUGGAUUAGAAGGAGAUCUAAUAAUAUUAAAUACUACAAAACUAUUAUGACCAUUGAUUAUUACUUCUAUAGGAAGGAUUUUGUGAGUAAUAUCUCCAGAAGACAAUGGACGACCAUCUAUGACUUCUACAUGAACAUGUUUAGUUUUCUUUACUAAAGAUAUGUUAUGUCUUUUAGUAAAUUCUUCAUCUAAAAAACACGCUGAGGCUCCUGAAUCUAACAAGGCAGAGACUUUGUAAUAUUUAGGUCCUAAAAUAACAUUUAAUGUAAAACAAGGAGAAGGCUCUGAGGAGAGAAUAGGACUUUUACUAGAUGUUGUGCAAGGUUCCAGCCGCACGGUUCCUAUUGUAGCUAGAUAAACUCGUUUUCUAACAUAUUGUCUUCUUUCACAGCCAUACUCCUCAUUUUGUGAUUGCGUCAUUUCUUUGGACAAUGUUGAGCAAUGUGCAUUGGUUCUCCAGAAUAUAAACAUAAUCCUUCUUGACGAUGAAGAGUCUUUUCUUGCUCAAUAAGAGGUUUGAAACGUAUUACAUAAAUUUGCAUAUCCUCUACUUCCGAAUGUAUGUGUUGAAGAGGUGUUGGUGUUGCCAUUGAAUUAUAAUAACGUUGAGGUCCACUUGUACGGUUCUCAGAUCGAAAUUCAAAAAGGCGAUUGUUACACUUCAUAGCAAAGUCAAUUGCUUGACUCAAUGUUUGAGGAUCAGGUAAGUUGAACAUUAAUUUUUUUACUUUAUAUUGUAAUCCGUAGAGAAAUUGGCUAAUAAGUGCAGCAUCAUCCCACUUAAUAUCAGUUGCAAGUUGUCAAAAUUGUGAAGCAUAUAACAUUAUUAAUCGAUUACCUUGUCGUAAAAUACGGAUCUUAUUGGUUGCAACACGAAUUGCAUCAUGCUCUCCAUACAUGGAUCAAAACUCCGCCAAAAGAGCCUCUAGAUUAUCCAAUAUUGGAUCUCAUUGUUCAAGAAAAGAUGAAAACCACGAUAGUGCUGAACUUGAAAGAAGCGUACCAAUGAAUCUAACUUGUGAUCCUGGAGUUGGAUAGCUUUGGAGUUGAAGUUCAAUCAUCAUUUGCACUUAAUUGAUAAAUCCUCAAAACUUGGAUCUGGUGCCAUCAAACUUCUCAGGUAGGGCAAUUCUUGGUUCUCUAACAUUUGAAGGGCGUUCCACUAUAGGAGAAAGGACAUGGUUUGGUGCCGAUGUUGAAACAACUCCAACCAUUUCUAUAUCUUCAUUUCCUGCCAAUCUUGUUGCUCCUUGUGGUGGUAAAUUGAGUUGAUGCAUCGCAAGCAUUAACUCUCUCAAUUGCUCUUGCAUUUGUGCCAUUGCACUCUUCAUUUUGAGAAGUUCUGCCAUGAUAACACUUAGAAGAGAGAAGAUAUCUAAUAUCGCUCAAGACAAAUAGAAGAGAGGACUUGAGGACAAAAAAAAUGAUAAGGACAAUAUCAGUUUAGAAGAGGAUAAUCCGCAACUUCUAAUAUGCUUAUAUCUUAUCAAGAAAAAGGGGUAAUCUACUCUUAAUCAAGAUUAAACAAAGCUCUGAUAUUGUAGGUGUACUCUUGUCAAUCUGUCAAGGACAAGAACUCGAUGAAAAAACAAUUCAGACAAGUGAGCCUUCACUCAAAGAGAGGUAACAAAAUAUAUAUAAACAAGUAUAUAUAUUGAAAUAGAAACUGGAAUGGCUAUUGCCAAAAGACAAGAAAACUAGAGACCCUUGAAAUUAGACUAGAAGCAAGAAAGGAGUUGACAAGAGUGAAGAAGCCUUCACUCUUGUCUCUAUAUAUAGUAUCUAACUAGGAGCUACGUGGCGACGUUCUAUAGGACCUCCAGUAUGUGUUGACUUUGUAGGACACAUGCCUUGACUUACAAGGUAAGUUUUUCUACGUGUGGGCCACAUAGUUAGCUUGAUCUUCAAGCUAACAACAUAUGUGGCACAUGGCCAACUUGUUGACUACGUUUCUAAUCCAAAAAGCCAAUUAAAGAUACCUAUGAAGUCAAAGUAGCGUCUAGGAAGCUUCUAAGAUGCUUUCAUAUUAAAUAUUAGUUUAUAUGAUCAUGGCCAUGACAUUAGAUUAGAAUGCUACUUGAAAUAUUUUUUCCAUCUAUAAUAAGUGUGGCAUAUAUAGCAAAAGUUGAUUCUUCUUUUUCAUUAUGCAUGAAAUUUUUGUACUUACCAAUAAUAAUUUGGUUGUAUCCAUCUUAUGGAUUUGUAUUUGCUUAGCAAAAUCUUAGGCUUAACUAUAGAAAAAAUUAAGGCUAUAAGAAAUCUUGUCUAUUUGAAAGUUAUACUUUUCUAGACACAAUAAUUCUAAAAUAAUUGAAUUAUAAAGAGACUAAUCUCAUUAAAUAUUAUUAAAUUAUUAUGACCACUAGUUGCUACUUUUAAGAAUAAAGUUUCAUAUAUAAUAUCUCCAAAAGAUAACAAACAACUAUCUAUUACUUCUAUAUGCUCAUGUUUAGUUUUCUUAUUUAAAGAUAUAUGUAAUUUUUUAAUAAAGUUUUUAUCUAUUAAACAUAUUGAGGCUCUUAAAUCUAAUAAGGCUAUAUCAUCUUCUUUAGCAAUCAUGCUUCUCAAUUUGUGAUUGUAUUUCUUCUUUGAAUAAUGUUGAGUAAUAUAUUUGACUUUUCUACAAUAUAAAUAUAAAUCUUCUUGAUGAUGACAAGUCUUUUCUUAUUUAGUAAGAAGUUUAAAAUAUACUAUGUCAAUUUAUAUAGGCUUUGGCCUUGACAAAUAAGCUUCCAUAAAUUUAGAAGAUAUUGCUAUUGCUUGACUUGUACUUCUUCAACCAAAUCUUUAUUUUUACCAUUUUUGAAAAGAGUCAAUUGUCAUAUGUAAUAGCUUGAGUAAUCAAUUGUUCUAAUGAAUCUACUCUCAUCAUUGUCAAUAAUAAAUCUUAGAUAUUAUCUUUUAAUUUAUAUCAAAUUGAUUGAUAAUGGCUUUAUUAUUCUAAUCCACAUCACAAGUAAGAUUUUGGAAUUUACUAGCAUAUAUAGUAUUUGUACGUGAUCUUUAUUGUAGCAAUAUGAGGUUGAUUUUUGCUACCCUUUCUUGAUUAUUUUUUCCAAAUAUACCUGUAAAUACUUCCAAGAAUGAAUUCAAAUCAUAGAAUAUUCAUGAAUCUUUUUUUUAUCAAAUGUGUAAAUCAAGAGAAUACUUCUUGAUAGAAGUGCAUCUAUGAAUUCAACUUAUAUAAAUCCAUCAAGGUAUUGGAAAGAAUGUGGCCUUAAAUAGAGCUUAACUUGUUGCAAAAAACUUUGUAAUUUUGAUCUUGUUCCACCAUAAUUUUUGAACAUACUUAUCCUUGCUCUUUUUGUACUUAUAGAAGCAAGAUUUCUUGAAUUUGAUUAUAUAGCUGAUCUACUUACUUCCUUCAACUGCACAACUUCUUGAAGUAGACUCUGAACUUCCUUCAUGUGUACAAGAGUAGUGCUUCUAUAGUUGGCACGAAAUUUCUUUUUUAAGAAUCUUGACAAGCUUGUGAAGAUCUACAAUAGUUACAAAUCUAUUCUUAUCUUUGCCAAAUGUAGCAUAUAUGAUUUUUUCUUCCAUUUCAAACAACUUUAUAAAUCUAGAAGUCAAAUUAAAGAAAGAUAAUCCAUAAUUUCUAAUGUCAGAUGAAAAUUUUCACAAAGAGAGAUAAUUUGCUCAUUUUUAAAAAAAAUCAAUGUUAAAAAAUUAAAUUAUUUGUUUAAAGAUAGAUAGUUUGUAACCUUCAAAAUACAACAAUGAAAGUGGAGUAAUCCACUCAUUUUUAAAAUAAAAAAAGAAAAAUGAAUUAGUAAUUUGUCAAAUUAUUAAGGACAUGAAUCUUGAAGAAUUGAAAGAUUAAGGCAUUCUUAUGUCACUCAAAAAGACUAAAUAACCAUUCAAAGAUGAUAUAAUAUUAGACUAGAAUGACUAUUGUCAAAGAUAGGAAGACUAAAAAGUCUUAAAACAAGACUAAGGACUAGAAAGUCAUUUCCAAGAAUAAAGAAGUCUUCACUCUUACCUUCAUAUAUACUAUUUAACUAAGAAUUAUGUAGCAAUAUUCUAUAGGACCUCCAACAUGUGUUGACUUUGCAAGACAUAUAUCUUAACUUACAAAAUAAGUUUACUACAUGUAUGCCAUAAAGUUAGCUUCUUCCAUAAGCUACCAACAUAUAUCACACAUGAUUCAUUUGUUGACCAAGUCUCUAAUUUGUCAAUCAACUACAAACACGUUGUCAUAUUACGUGGCAUUUGGCUUGAGAAUGCAUUGGACACUUGGCUAUGGAAGAUAAAAAGAAAAUUGUAACAAGUCCUAAUACUUCUAAUAGAUUCUUAAAUAAAUUAUAAUUAAAGAUUAGCAAGUAUAAUCAAAUAUCAAUCAAAUUCAAUUAAAAUUGCAAAGAAAUUAUAUAAGAAAUACAAAGUAUUCCUAAAGACCCUUUAAAGAAAUCAUAAAGAAAUAACAUAAGAAUUAAAAAAUAUACUAAAAUAAAAAUCUUAAUAAAAUAUUAAAAUAGAAAUCUUAAUUAAAUCCUAAUCAAAACUUAAUAAAUCCUAACUAAAUCCUAUUCUAACCUUAAACAAAUCUUAAUCAAAUCCAUGUCAAAUUUUAAACAAAUUCUAACUAAAUUCUAUUCAAUCCUAAAUAAAUCCUAGUAAAAUCCUAAACAAACCUAAACAAACCUAAACAAACCUUAACCGAAUCCUAAUCAAACCUUAACCGAAUCCUAAUCAAACCCCAAACAUAUUCUAACCAAAUCCUAAAUAAUCAAAAUAAUUCCUAUAGCAGAUUUAAACCUUAAUAACUAAUGAAUGAACCAUUGAUUUUAACUCAAAUUUUGCACACCUCUUUAUAAUUAAGUUGACUACAAAUAAAAAUAUUUUGAAGAAGAUUGAACUCACCAAAAAGAAGAUCAAUUUUAAUAUUUUCUCGGAUAUUGGCUAGCCUCCUUCUUUAAUAUGAAUGUUGAAUGUUUAGUAUCAAUAUCUCCUUAUUAAAUUGUUUGAUUGAUCUUAAAUUUCUCACAUACGUAGGAAAAUAAGUUUAUUAUCUAUAUACAUUAUUUUCACUUCACUCCAAUAGAUAGAUUGCAAGAAAGCUUAGAAAUCCUCACUAAACCUAAAACUCUAUUUUCCAAGACUUUGAUCCACUUAAACUUGAAUAAUCUUUUAUCCAAUCCUUUAAUCAAGCUAAAACACACAGCAUAUAUUGAACACAUAUAUAUCUACAAAUCCUCAAAAUAAAUGAAAUAGACAACUUUACAAGGAAGUUAAGAGUAAAUUCUAGCAAAAAUUAUCUAGAAAAACUAGAUAUUGAUACCUAGAGAGGGCCGAUUAUGAACGAGGGUCGAAAUUAGACCUCGAGGCACAAAACCAAACCUCAACAACGAUUCUAGGAUUCUUUUGGAAAUUGAAGGGUAGAAUUUGAUAGCAGACUUGAUAGAUUUUCUUUCAGUGUUGAUUUGAUGUAAUUUGAAUGUGUAUUGAAUUUGUAAGAGCUUUGUAAAGUUGGGAUUUGUUUUGGAUGACUCUAGAUUUGUGAAAUAAAGUGGAUCCUAAUUUUUGGAGAAUUUCAUAAGUUUGGCAUUAGAUAUGAUUGAUAUACUUUUGGCAUUGUACUAUGUUAGUAGAAUCAUGAAACUAGAAUGGAUGCAUUUGUAGUCAGUAUUAAACAUUUUAACAACUUGGAAUAAAUAUUAUUGCAAGAAGGUACAUCCAUCAAUAUAUAUAUGGUAUAGUACAUCUUGUUAAUUCAAUAUUGCACAAAAUAAUCAUUUUUUUUUAAUAGAUCAAUAUAUGAUGUUAUGAAACUUGAUUGUUAAAAUUGAAAGAAUUAUAGUAAAAAUUGUUUGAAAAAUACAAAUCUGAUACAAGCUAGUUUGUCUUACAAAGGAUGAAUUCAUAAUUGAUAGAUUUAAAUUUUGAAGGAAUUGAGAAGCAUUCAAUGGUUUUCAACAUUUGCCCAGGAACUACAUUUGAUUAUGUAAUUUAUUUUCUAAUGCAAAUCAUGAAGAAAAUUUUAGAACUUCAAAAUAUUAAGUUGAUAAAUUAUUUUUAAUUUAUUUCCAUCAUUUUUAGAAAUAUUUUAUAGAUAAUAACUCAUAUUUGAUUAUAAUUAUUGAUUUUAUAACCAAUUUUUAUUUUAAAAAGAAUGUAAUUUUGUAGCCUAAAUAUUUUUUUUUAAAAAAAAUCAAUAUCAUUUUUGAAUUUAAUUAUGUGAAUUAGAGAGAUUAUCUUAUUAUAUUCAUGUAGAUGCAUGAAAAUCCAAAACAAUCCUGUGUUUAAGUGAUAGAAUGAGUGUUACACAUACAUUAAUUCAUUAUUCUCACACAUCUCAAAGUAUUUAUCUAUUUUAUUUUAUUUUUUUACAUGCAUUUCAAAACAUAGCACUCAAUUUCCAUAUAAAUAUAUUUUUAUUUUCUUUUAUUUAUUUUUUAAAAUUAAAAAUAUAAACUUUCCACCCUUAUGCUUGUUCAAAAUAUUCUAAUUAAAAUUACUAUUUCAUGGUUUAAAACAUAAAUUUUUUAACCAAUAAAAAUAAGAUAAAAAAUAGAAAUGCAUAAAUCAUUCUAUUCUAGAAAUUCCACAAAAUAUUUUUAUCUUAUUUUCAAUAUAUAUACAUCAUCAAAAAAAAAACAAGGUGUUGUCAAUGCAUCACAAAGCAUGGCUAUUGUUCAAUCCAAGAAAAAAAAUUAAGUAUUGAUUUGAUGAGGCAGUAAAUAUACAUCAAUAGAACAUCCAAAUCCACAUAAAACCAAAGAAAAAAAUAGUUCAUUACUAAAUGGAUCAGACACCAUUUUAUUCUUCUUGGAGCAAUCGUAACAACGAACAGCCACGGAUGGAUGAUACUCUCCCGAACGAGGCGCAACUCAUCCAUCAUCCAAUGAACAACGUUCGCUCGUCGGACACCGUCGCCUUUAUGCUUCGUUCGUCACCAUGUUUCGUUCGUCGUCGUCGUCAGCUUCGUCGUGUGUGCAUGUUAGUGUAUGUAAGCGAGUGUGUGUGUGUUUUGCGAUGAGGAUGGAGGUGGUGGUGGUGGUGGUGGUAUCUCCGAUGAUGCAAUGGUGUGGAGAUGAUUGGAAUGAACGAGUGCGCAAUUCCGGAAUAAUCUCUACCGGAGGCGUCUCCUCCUGCGCACGCACGCACGCAACUCGCCCUUCGCAUCGAUGAGGAGGAGGAGGAGGCGGAGGAGAGGCAUUGCUGUUUGCAACGGGGAACUAUCCCCCCCCCCCCUCAGCUUGCGACUCGACGCAGCUGAUCAAUUCCGUAGCAUGGAAGGAAAGGUCUGGAAAGGGUGGGAGCGUGUGCCCCAGGCUUUCCAGUCCCCCUCAAAAUCAGCUUCUCUUUCAGAGAAUGAGCCGUGUUGCUACUGACACAUCGAAGGAGCCAGAAUUGAAGGAUUCCCGUGUGACUAUUCCGAACAGACGAUGCGAGAUUCCGAGACAGCUCAAGAGCCUGGGACGGACCACCCCCUGGAAUGCGGAGGCGGAUUCGAGGGAGCGAAUGAAUCCAAAGUCGAGGAACUCGACGUGAGAGGGCAGCAUCAAUCGCCGCCUCCGGUGAUGGUGGGACACUUUUUCUUCUUCUUCUUCUUCUGUUUCUUCUUCUCCUUCCGAUUGAUGGUGCAGCGGCACCGGAUACUUCAGAUUUGGGUGCACGCCAUCACCCCCCUCUCAGAUUAUAAUAAUAAUAAUAAUAAUAAUAGUAGGGGGUUGGGUGGGGUGGGGUAUUAGCGGCAGAUCCAUUUGCAGUUGCAGGGAGACUUUUGCGGUGUGAUGCUCCUCCUCGACAAUGGAUAAUCUGCCAUAGUCCCCUUUCGUGUCUGUUGCCGCACACGAGCCUCCUCCAGCGCCUUGGCUGAUUUUUGGCGGGUGCUGACUGUGUCUGCCACCUAUACUUUCCCCAUCCACUUGGUUCCAGGGGCUCUUCUGGAAGCUGAGCUGAAACGCCUCCUAGUUGAGCAGCUUAAUCGUUAAUAUGGUCGCAUCUGCAUUUGGAGCUUCCUUCGGAAAUCCUCGCCCUUUGAUCUCCCCCCCCCACCCAAUUAAGUUAAAAUUUUAAAAAUAAGUAAAAUCGUUAAACCUUAAAAUAUAAAUAUUAUUCCUAAAAUGAAGGUGGAAUAUAUAUAUAUAUAUAUAUGUAUAUACAUAACAAAAAAACUCUCUUAUUUUUAUUAGUAGAAUACUACAAAAUAGGAAUCCAUUCUUUACGGUUGUCAUAUGAUGAUGACGUGUGUUCUUUUCUCUUUUCUCUUUUUUCUAAAAAAAAACAUUAUAUUUUUAAUUAUGCUUUCACAUACUUAAUUAUUAGAAUAUAAAUACUACUACUAAUAAUAAUAAUAAUAAUAAGAAAUCAAAAUUUUGGCAAUACACAAAAAUUUAUGAAUACUUUGUUUCCAGUGUGAGAUCUCUGACAUUCCCCCCUUCUCUUUACUCCUUUCUGUGUGUGUGUUUGCCUUCCUGUGAGUGUGAAGCAAGUCAGAGUUGGGGCCUGCAAGCAACAAUCGUGUUAGGGGAGGAAAGAGAGGAGCAAGGCCCUCCCUUCCUUCCAAAAGAAAGAAUAAAUGAAUGCAUUAUAUAGCAGCCCAGUCAAUCCCCAGCUCUCUCUCCUUUCCUUUGCCGACUGACUGACAUGCAAUGCCUUUGCUGAUGGAUGAGAACGAGGAAGGAAGGAAGGGAGGUAAAUGGGGAAGAAGGGGGAUGGAUGAUGAUGGGCUGGCUGAAGAGGUGGGGGAGAGAAGAGGAGAGGAGGCAGAUGAUUGAUCUCUCUUUCUUUAGGGUUUGGCAGAAUGUGCCCCCCCCCCCUCUCCCUUUUUGUUUUUUUCACACACUGUAUUGCAAAAUGUCAAUAAUAGCAAUUGCAAAAAGUCUUCUUCGUCUUCUUCUUACUUUGACUGGGAGAGAGCGAGACGGAGAGAGAGGAGGUCCUCUCUCUCUGCUUCCCUUCCCUUCCUCUCACUUCCCUGUGUGCGCUGAUGACUCGGAUUAUUUCCUGGAGUAAGUUGUAGUAGUAGCAGGAGGGAGUCGCAGUAGUUGCAUGGUGACACCCCGUGGCAGGGUCGGGCCAGAAAAAAACAGCCAACCAGGAGAAGAAGAAGAAGACCCAGCGUGAGAGAGAGCGAGAGAGAGUCAGAACACAACUUACUACAUGGAAAGGGUAAAAUAAAAUAAAGUAUAAAAUAUAAUUAUGGCUCAAGCACAAGCCAACCAACAAACGAAGGAAGGAAGGAAGGAAACCAAUAAACUGAGAUGGAUGGAUGAAUGAAUGAAUAAAUGAAUGAAUGAGUGAAUGAAUGAGUGAAUGAAUGAGUGAAUGAAUGAGUGAAUGAAUGAACGAAGGAAGAGAGGGGUUACUUACGAAAGGAAAACGGAAGCGGGGGGGAAGGAGGGCCAGUGCGCGGGCACGGGUAACAGGGGGGGAGGGGGGGGACUGAGACGGAGAAUGAGACAAGGAGAGAGAGAGAGCUAUGUGUAAUGUUAUGUGUAUGUUAUGUCUCACAGAACAGGAAGAGAAUUGCGUUGCGUUGCGCUGCGUCCACCAACAACAACAGCGAGCAAGCUCUUCGGUGGCGUCCAAGCUUCUCUACUCUGCUCUGCUUUACUCUGCUCAAUUCCUCCCUCCCUCACUCCGCUCUCACACCCUGGCUACACCUUUCCCUGGUUCCAGGUGCCCUUCGUCUACUUCCUUCUUCUUCCUCUUCAUCGACCGCCACGCCUCCCUCUCAAUUGCGUUGUUUCUUUCCCGUGCUGGUAGACUUUCGUCUGGGAAGAGGGUGAGAUGCCGGGCGUUUUCGUGUUUCGAUGUUUGCGAGGGGCGUCGCUCUUCCGGGAUUAGCGUCGUUUCUUCUUCGUUCUUUUCCUUCCUUCUUUUUCACGUCGCGUUAGCAAUCUUUGGUUGAGGCGGUCGGAGAGAGGAGAUGAGUAUGGGAUUGGGAAAUUUCAGGUAUUUGGUUUUGAGCGUGGAGGGGGGGGGGGGCUAUGGUGGUUGGCUGGGAUAAUUGGGGUUCUUUCUUUCCUUGCGAGUGGAUUAUGGAGAGCUGCGUUUCUUUUCUGAAUCGAGCAGCAUCCAUCUGAGAUUUCCGUAGGCCAUGGUGCUCAACGUGUCAUUAUGGAGGUUACGGCUGUUUGAAGUGGAAAGAAGGUUUCACGUGUGUUGAUUGCAGUUCAGCAACGUUUGUUUAUUUUUUGGUUUUGUUUUGUGUGUUUGUGUGUUGAUUGGUUAGUCGCUUCUUCCGUUUGUUUUUUUGGGAGAUGGUGUGACAUGGUCGUGUUUUAUUGGGUGCUAGAUGAACUGGUUGGGGUUUGGUUUGUUUCCACUUUGCAUAGAAGGUAUCGAGUGCUUGGGAAUCACUUUCGUGACUUAAUUUGUUUGUUACAAUCGAAGGACGCUGAUAAGGCUUGUCUACUCGUACACUUUUCGGGUGGUCUUUGGCAGAAUUUCCGUGCAUGAUUUUUUCUUUUUGCCUUUUUGUCUUUUUUAAUUUUAAAAUUUCAAAACAAUGGUUUUAAUUUCUUUGAUCUGAUUAUUUCUUAAAGUCUACCGAUCUGAUCGAGGAAUUGCGGUGUGGUGUCUUCUAUCAGACCUAACCUUGAUCCAAAGUUUUUUAAGAUGUGUCUCGAGAGGUUCUUAACAAUAGGGUGCGCUUAGCAAGGGCAAUUGAGGUGGUUUACUGUCUUAGCAGGUACGAAUCACUUCUAAUUCUGGGAAUACGUUGCUUGUGUGCAGUUUAUCUGUUUUUAUAGUGAGUAUACCAGUGCGCUCGGGCAUCUGAAGCAGGUCGCUCACUUCUGCUUUGUCACUGUAGAGAGGUACUGUUCUGGCAAUGAAGAUAGCGCUAACUACACGUUCUUGAAUUGGUUCGAGUUGUUCCAAGUGCCCCUUCCUUACUUGAUACGUGGCGGAGAUCGUGUUAGAUACGGACUCUGUGGCAUGUUAUGGUGACAAGUUUUCUGCAAUUGAAGCUGAUUCGGGUAAGUCUCGAACGAUUCUACACGUUUCACUCGCAUCUGUGCCUUCUUGCUGCUGGCGCGUUCAGUUAUCUUUCACGAAAGAAGAAUCAGAAUCUUAAAGAUGAAUGCCUCGUAAGAUUACUUUUUGCACAUAAGUGGAUUUUCAUACCCACAGUUCUUUAAGCAAUUUCUGUCUCCUGCUUGGUGGUCGCAGGAUACAGGUUACACAUUGUGUAAGAUUCAUUUGAACCCUGGAAAUUAAGUAGAAUGGUAUGUAUGACAUGACAUGACAUGCUCUUCAAAAUCGUGGCACCACGUUGGCACGAGGGCGUGAUUUACCUCUGGAUAUUACGCCUAGACAAUGCAGGAUAAUAUCUUUCAACGUAUUUUCCGGUCAGUUCUCGAUCCAUAGUGAUAAACCGUGUGAAAACAUUGGUUUGAUUGGUUUCUGUACAUGUCCAUGUUUCCUACGUAAUUAGUUUUGAUACUGCGAACGCUCACGAUACCAUCGGAACUCCAUCCACCUUGCUGGAGAUUGAUGGUGGUAAAGAUCCUCUCUAACAGUGAUUCCACUAGCAGGACUCUUCAUCGUUGAUCAAAUGGUUCCAACAUUGUCGUUUUCAUUAGCUGCGUGGUUUUGAAGAAACAUCAUAUAAAUACUGAUAGUUGAGGGGUCAGGUAGGCCGAUUCCAAAUUGCGCAGCAAGGCUGAUUUAUUAUAUGAUUGGUAACAUUGCUUUGCAGGACUUGUAGCACCUCAACUAUCCAUGCGGUCAACCAUCUACUAUCGCUGUUGAUCCCAGGAAGAUAAAGUCAGGCGCCACGGCUACAAUAACUGUCUCCGGUUUUGAGAAGAAGGGAGUUAACUGCAUUGAAAGACAAAAGGAGGAGAGUGUGUACAGUCAAGCAGUCAAAACGGGGUCCCUUUGCUGUGUGGCCGCAAGGCCACAUGGAUCGUCCGACAAUGGUCACAAUUGGUCAAGUUUGGGAGAUAAACCCCGUUGGCACACCAAUGAGGGAUAUGUGCCCCCGUUAUCGAGCUCGCACUUGGACCAACUGCAUGGUGAAGACUACGUGGGCACAUCAUCUCGAACGUUUUCUGUUCACAGAAGAUCGUUAUCCUUGAGUGGUCGUGGAAGUAGAAGCUGGAGGAGGGUAGAUGGCAGUAGACUCUAUAACCAUUACCGCACUCCCUCUGGGAGUCUAUAUGGAGGCAGUCCCAACAAUUUUAUAUGGAAUCCUCUUGCUUCAUCCAGUCAUCGUAUUGCUGAUUCGACAACAGCUGAAUCAGGUACACGAAUGUCCAAAGGCAAGCGACAUUGGUCGAUGCAUACUUCAUUUUCAUGGAUAUUUUAAAUGAUCACUGCUGGUAGAUAGAACUUAUGGUAACGCAGAAUCAAGUUGUCACUAAUCAUAACGAGAUGCAUAAACUGCAGUUCCGCUUCUGAGACUCAUGAAUUAUCUGUCUUUUUCGUCUAUGCUGGACUGUUAUCAUGAUCGUCGAAGUGGAGGCUGCCAUCCUAGCCUGACAAUUUUCAAACUUUGAUCCUGCAGAAAUAGUAGCAAGCCCUCUAACCUCGGCACACUCCUCCAAAGCGGUAAGUACUAACGCAACUUCUACUCAAUUUUUGUCUAGUCUCUGUCCUGGAUGGAGCCCUAAGACUUAGAUAUAUAUUUUUAUCAAGUAACGUAUUCCUGUAGUAGAGUCUGACUUGGAUUGAGUUAGGAAAAGAAUGCUUCUAAUGAACUACUGGAGCCGGAUACAUGUUCUAAGUUUCAGACAUAGAAUUGACAAAAGAUUUUUAAAACAAACUUUUGAUUUCAAUUUUAUUCAUUGCGCUAUCUGCAGGAACACAUUCUUACUCGUCCACCUGCAAUAUCAAUAAAAUCCGAGAGCACUUCAUCGUCAUUUCUCAAUGUCACAAAAGCCCCCCCUGCUCCUCACUUAGAGUCUGGUUUACCAUCGUCUUCCCAUGGGAACGACUCCGCGUUAUCUAAGCCCUCAUUCCUGGUGCCUGGCAAUCCUUCACGGAGAGAACAUUAUGAGGGACGUUUUCCUCCGACAGGUCCAGGUCAAGUGCCAUCUUUGGAUGGGCGCUUUUCCUUUCAUCGAUCAAACUCCAGUAGAAGUUCUAGCGCAGGGGGGAGCUCUGACUGGUCAUCGUUCAAUGGCUUUAUGGAAGCGGGAUCCGAUGCACGGCAGGAAUGGUUAAGGGUAUCAAACGCCACGAGUCCAUCUGACUACCACUGGGGUACCAACCGGUCGGAGGAAUAUGAUAGAGGUUCAGGUCAGAUGUGCAUGGAGAAAAUUACCGCACGUAGUUCUCAAUCAACCCCGUCCAGCCCGUGUCCUGAGGUAGCCUAUUCAUCUUGCUCUUCGAAUGAUUUAGCUAUGUGCAAUCGUCCUAAUGAAUAUGAUUGGGCUAGUGGUCUUGCUAAGUGUCGUGGAUGUAUUCAGUCUUGGAUAUUCUGGAAAAGUACUUGCUUUUAAUGUAAUCCGUUUGGUUUUGGAAUUAGUUCUACAAAUUGGAUGAGUGUGUUGUAUACAAUCACUCGAACAUAGACAAGCUUUUCUCAUAAAACGUAAAAUUACAGUUGCGUCAUUCGUUGUGCAUGCUCCAAAUACGUUGUCAUGUCCAACUUACUCCUUAUUCAUAUGUUCUGAUUCCUUGAGUUCUGUGCAGAAUUGUGGUGUCUGCUCACGGGGACUUACUCAGCGAUCUCCAUGGGCCUCCUCGCGUUUUAUGGGUUUUCACGAAUGCAAUGUAGUUGGGGUUUUGGUUUGUGGCCACACAUAUCAUACUGAAUGCCUCGAGCAGAUUACCCCUGAUAGCUCUCGCCAAGACCCAGCUUGCCCGCGUUGCAGCUCUGGAAAGGUUGCAUCAAAGCAACCGAUUGUGUCUAUGCCCACUCUUAAAUCUGGGACUGUACGAGGAAGCAGCUUCAUGAGCAGGCCAAGCCCGAGAAAUAAACUGUCUAGAAUUGGAGUGCUAGAUGAUACUGUCAGUUUCGGCAAGCCCAGAUUUUCAAUAAGUUCGCCAGGGGAACCUUCCUCUUAAAAAGGGAGUUGCAGAAUGAUGUCCUAAAAGUCCUCACAUACUUCACAUGAAGGCCUACUUUCGUGCGUAUGACUCCGUGCGUGUGACUGGAGCUCAUUUGAACGAGGAAGAUUGGUUGUUGAGAAAAUUUCAGCGGAGAUGGUAUCUCUAAAAGUUGAUGCAGAUUGCGCUUCGAAACGGACGCGUGAGGAUUUUUGGCUUUACCUUUCAUGCAGUUGAUCGUGAACCAUGCUCUGAUUCAUGUUUCUCGGUGUUUUCUGAAUGUGAUUCAAGGUCUGUCGUCAUAAGGAGUGGUGGUUUCCUGCCGAGAAAAACUGCCUUUUGCUUGUUCUUAGUUUAGGGUUGUCAACACCGUUAUUAGAGCAGGCAACAUCUAUUGGAUGCCUUUUCAUCUUGUGAAGUCUUAGGUUACGGAGGGCCAGUUGCAGAGAAAAGUCUCUAAUUGAGUGCUCACAAUGGCUUUGCUUUAAGAUACAAUAAUGUCCAUUACAGAGGGUAUCAUGCCAGGGGUAGUUACAAUGUAUAUACUCCGCUGGGCAUGGCAUUCUUCCUGAUAAAGCCACUGGCUUUCACAUUGUACUAUACUCAACAUUUUGUAAAUACAAUGGCCUUAUGGGAAGCAUAGGCACUUCUUCUCUUUCCUAGCCAAAGUGUAGAAAUGUUGUCCUUCUGAAAUUGAGAACUGUUGUGAAAACUGAUGCUUGCAUACUGUUCAAUUAUGCUAUAAUUCCUUAAAUGUCCUUUUCUUUCUAUUCAUCAUUUGAUGUCUUCCAGAUAUGGGAACUGAAAACAUAUCAUGACUCCACCAUUCGACACUCCAGUAUUUCUCUUUGAAGUUGUUCCACAAGCCGCACAUGUACAGGAAAGAUUAUACAGAAGAGAAAACAGAACAAAACAAAAUCAUUCUUCAACAAAUUAUUAUUUAAAUAUAUUUGUAAACAACUGUAUAAAAAAAUAAAAAAUAAACUGUUAUUAAAAUAUUGUUUGUGGUAAUUUUCCUUUUUGUUUAUUUAGCUAUAUGUGUGUACUUUCUUAACAAGGAGAAUCAUAGGUUUUUUAAUACUUAAGAAUAUUUGAGAAUGUAAGGAAAUUGUAGUGCACAUGAUAUUUGAUUGAUGUGCUUCUGUGCCAAAGCAUUUUCAAGAUGCUUUUGAGAAUGUCCUUUUGACUUGGAUUCAAGGUGCAUUGUUCCAAUAGUAUAUUCAUCUGUCCCCGUCCAUGGCUGAUUUAACCCUGCAAAGGUUUUCCUCCCACAUUGCCACACAAGUAAUCAAAUAUAUUUAAAUAUAUGAUUUAUUUAACUUUUAAAUAUUUUUUUAAAAAUAUAUGAUCAAAGAAUGAACAUAUAUUUUGAAAUGUUGUUAAAUUGUACAAGAAUGUUAAAUCUUAUACAAGUUUUCAUUGUUAAUUUUUUUAAAGAUACUAUUUCAAAAAUAAUUAGUAUAUUAAAGAUUUGUAUAUUUUUUGUGUGUAUAUAUAUAUAUAUAUAUAUAUAUAUAUACAUCCAAAUUUAGGGAUUUUAAGAUUUUAUUAAAAUCUUCCAAUUUGUCAUUGUGAGGCUACAAAGAUAAGAAAUCAUGAACUGAAAUUCGAUAAAAUUAGUUUAAUUAGAUAUAAAGUAGAUUUCAUUAAGGAUUUUAUUUACUUAUUUAUUUAUUAUAAUACAUAUCUAUGCAAGAAAGAAGAAGAUGAAGUGUGUAGAAGAAAAAUAAUAAGAGAUAAAGUAAUAAGAAAAACAUGACAUGUCUUUUAUUCUUAUUUUUACUAAAUACAAUAUUGAGUUGAAUUCAAAAGAAAUGUUUCUAAAAUAGAUAAAUAAUAUUUAGAGUUUUUGUAAAAUUUACAAGAAACAUCUUAAUAUUUAAAUGUAAAAUAUGUUACUAAAGCAAGAUAGUAACCAAAAUUUAAGAACUAUUGUAAUAUCAAAAAAAUAGAAUACCUACAUACAAUUUAUAAGACAUAAUUGAAUUCUUUUAUAGAACUAAGAUAUCUAUUAAUAGAAAUUUAAAAUUAUUAUUAAUAUUAUAAUAUAUACUUUUAAUUCUACAAGUUGAUUUUUUUUUUUAAUUUUUUUAAUUUAACAUUUUCACUAUCUUAAAUUCUUCAAAAAAUAAAAUGUAUACAUAGAUAUAUCCAAUUGUCAACCUGGGUUGAAAUCAGACCUUAAGGCACAAAACCACACACCUACAAUGACUCCAAGGUUCUUUGGUAGAUUGAAAAGUAGAGUUUGAGAACAAAUUUGCAAAGAGAUUUUUGGACAUUGGUUUUAUAUCAAUUGAGUUAAUAUUCAGUUUUGGGAGAUUUUCAAAGUUAGUAAUGUUCUCGGUUGGUUUAAAUUUUGAGAAAUAAAACUAUGUUUACACCUUUGAAGGUUUCUUGAGUUCUGUUGUAUGAAUAUGGAUAAAUUUUGAAUAAAAUAUUGGUGUAAUAGUUGUAAAAGUAUGUGCAAAUUUUGAGGUCAAUCAAAUGAUUAGAUCAAAGUAUGUGAAGGUUUUUAAAAAUUGAGGUCUUAGAAAUUGGAGUAUGAUGGUCAAUGAUUAUUUUUAAGAACUUUAGCAAUUUGUAAAUUGGAUUGAAGUAUAUAUAUAUAUAUAUAUAUAUAUAUUAUAGAGACUAGAUUUCAUUUCCAAUAGUUUGACUUUUGGGAGAAAUUCAAUGAUUCAAAAAAGAGAUAUUGACACUGGAAGUUCAACAUUUAGAUUGGAGGAGGCUGGCCAACAUCCAAGCCAAUUUUUGGGUUUUUCUUCCAUUUGGUAAGUGCAAUUAUCUUCAAAUUUGUUAUACUUGUUUUUAAUUAAGAAGUUAAGAGAUGUGUAAAUUUUUAAGUAAGAUGAAUGGUUUAAACAUUAGAUAUUGGGAUUUCAAUCUGCCUUAGGAUUUGUUUGAAUUGGUUAGGUAUUGAUUAAGAUUUGGUUUAGGAUUUAUUUAAGGCUUAGGGUUUGUCUAAGCUUUGGUUUAUGGUUUAGGGUUUAGAAUUUAGUUAGUGUUUGACCUAAAAUUUAUUUAAGAUCCAUAAGGGUUUCAAUUAAGAUUAAAAUAAGAUUUGGUUAAAUUUUAAUCUAAUAUUUCUUUAGGAUUUCUUCAUGUUUCUUUCAUAAUUUCUUUAAGAUUUCUUUUGGAUUUGAUUAAAGCUUGAUUAACAUUAUUAAGAUUUAAUUGGAACUUAUUAAAGAUUCUAUUAGAGUUGUUAAGAUCUUGCUGUUGCAAUUUCCUUUUUACAUUCCAUAGGCAUGUGCUCAAUGCAUUUUCAAGCAAGACUUAAUGUAAUACAAUACUGUCCACUCCAAAAAAAUCAAAUAAAACAUUUGUGAAUAUCUUUAUAAAAAUAAAAUGAUACUAACAUGGUCAUACGUAUCAUAUGAACUCCAAUAAGCAAUAAUUUGGAUACACAAUGAUAUAAUGACAUAAGAAUGGAAAAUAUUCACUAAAUGGCACAAUACAAACUAUUUUUAUUUUUAUUAAAAAAAAUUAAUCUAACAAGAGAUACUUCUAAGAAAUUUUAAGAUUAAUUUUUAAGAAAAUUGAAUAAACUUAUCAAAAAUUAAUGAAAAAAAGAAUUGUGUUCAUUUACACCCAAACCUAUCUAAAUAACGAAAUAGUUGAUUUUGUAGAAAUUUGCAAAUUCGAAGAGAACAUCGUACAUCUAUAAUCAAGUAGGGAUAAAAAUGUUGAAUGAUUUUAGUUUAAAUUCACCAGCUUUUAAUAGCAAAGAUGAAGAGAUGUAUCUCACAUAUUCAAACCCUGUUAAGAUUAACAGUACCUUAACGAUGUGCCAACGUUGAUAGACUCAAGAUAUAGUUGCGCUGAUUGGUCCAGUUGCCCAAUCUCAGCAAAACCUCAGCACAAAGAGCCACUUUUAUAAAGACAUGAUGUAAAUUCCUUUAGAGUUUAGAACUGAGUUUAGAACAAUGAGAUUCUAUUUGUGAAAUAGAUAAAUAAGCACAUACACACACACACUCAACUGCUCAGAGCUGUUUUUCCUAUGAAGCAUUACUUUCAGUACUGCUCCUGUUUACCAAACGACAUAAUUCAUUGCAAAACAACGGGAUGAGAGAAGUAAUAUUGAUUUUUAGAAGUCAGAUCACUAGAAACAACAAAAAAAGAGAAACCAGUUGCCACCCAGACCUGUAUCGAGUGAGAAACAACAAAGAAUCGACAUAGCUGAGCAGCAUGAUGAAGGCAAGAAAAAGGAAACAAACCCACAAAUCAGUUAUGGCAGAUGGCGACAACAGCUGGACGAAUACAUUACGAUACGAAUGCUGGAUUAAAUUGCACAAGAAAGGCUGAUUGCACUUAAUUGAAGUGCAAAAAGAAAACCCUAAUUCCUCUGUUCGGCAACAAGGGAGGAGCAGAUGCAUUAACACUAGGGCUUGGGACCGACCUCAGCUGGUGUUUUAGUGUUGAGAGAAAGAGCAUGAACUCCGCCCUCCUGGAGCUCAUCGCGUAGCAAGUCAUACACGAGGCGAUGCCGUUUUAGCAGAUUCCGCCCUUGAAACUGCUCAGACACAACCUUCACAUUGAAAUGCGUUUCGGAGGAGCCUUUCGGGGCACCAGCGUGGCCAGCAUGCUGGUAAGAGACAUCCUCCACCUCCAGGAGCGCUGGAGCCAACGCUUCCGCAAGCUUCUUCUCGAUGAUCUGCUUCUUCGUCGGCAUGGACUUCCCCGAGGCACCGGUAGUGCCCUCAGCAGUCGUCGACAUGGAGAAGGAAGUGGAAUACAGCUGCAAAGUUUUCUCGAUGCGCUUCAACAGAGUGCGAACUCCAUGCCUACAGGACGGCGUCGUUAAGCUCUGCUUGAACCCUAACAUGUGAAAUUCUAAAUUCAGGCGCGAGUUUCAAAACCCAAUUGCGUAGCAUUCCCGCAACGCCUUUCCAGUGGGCUGUACAAAAUCGCCCUUCUACUCCGAAGCAACCCAACUGUGCACAGUUCUCAAACUCACAUGGCAUUCCGACAUUGCGACAAAGCACCGUGUCCUACAAUCUCUCGACAUCGCUGCAAAACUCUUCACGUCUCGUCCUUCGUCGUCGUCCGUGGAUGACGACGACUACGAUGAUGAGCCGUUUCUCAAUUCCAUUCCCCCCAUGACUAGAUUGUGUUUUAGGGUUUCUUUGAUUGACACGCUCCUUUCUUUCCAUUGUGUUUCAACUUUCGAUCCUAACAAAAAUUCUUUUUUGUACAUUGUUAAGUAGACAUAUUUCAUGCAAGUGUACAAUCUCAAAUAUUAUAUUGGCAUGGAGAAUUUAAAGUAUACAAAACAACACAAUCAGUAGUAGAUGAGAUAUUAUAUUUAAUCACAUGGAAUUUUUUUAAAGAUAAUUUGUAUAGUUGUUUUUUUUUAAAUAAAAAAUAAAAAAUAUAUUUUUAUAUAUCUUUACUUAUAUUAUAGACUAGAGUUAGAACUUCUUUUUUAUUCUUUAAACAUGUUUGUAAAUAAUUGAUACCUUGAAAACUUGGCCAACAAGUUAGUCACAUGUCACACAUGUUGACUACUUGUAUUACAAAUUAGCAACAUAGAGCACAUGUUGGAAAUUCGUUCUACAAGUACUUUUCAAAAACUUAUUUAUCAAAGCCAAAACCAAUGCAAAUUGAUAUGAUACAUUUUAAGUUCCUCAUACAGAAGGAAAAGAGUUGACGAUGUCAAGAGGGCUUAUACUUAUAUUGUAGAGAAGCUAAAAAUCCUAUUCAACAUAGUCCAAAGAAACAAUGCAAUUAUAAAAUGAGAAGCACAAUUGUCAAAAAAGACAAUAUAUUGGAAAAUCACUUGCUUCAGCUACGAUAGAGAACAUGCAAUUCGAAUCAUGUAUAACAUCUAGCUAAGGUCAUAUUUUUUCAUCUAAUCUCUUAUCUUAUUUUAUAAUAGAAGUCUGUUUAGGACCAAAAAUCACAAAAUCUAAACCUUAUUAGAUUCAAGAGUCUUAGCUUGUUUUAUAGAUGAAGACUUUGUCAAAAAACAAGAUAUAUCUUUAAUUAAGAAAAUCAAAUCCAUCCAUGUAGAAGUAAUAGAUGGAUGUUCAUUAUCUUCUGGGAUGUUACACAUGAAAUUAUUUCUAUAGAAGUAGCAAUUAGUGGUCACAGUAGUUUAGUAAUAUUUAAUGUGAUUAAAUCUCUUUUUGAUCCAAUUAUUUUAGGAUUAUCAUAGUUAGAAAGAUAUAAUCCUCAAAUAGACUAGAUUUCUUGCAAUCUCAAUUUUUUCCAUAAUUUAGCCUAAGGUCUUACUAGAUAAGUAAAAAUCCAUAAGUCUAAUAUAUCCAAAUCCUUAUUAAUAUGUAUAAAAGCUUUCAUGCAUGCCGCAAAUGAAGGGCCAACUUUUGUUACAUGUACUAUGUCCAUUGUUGAUAGUGAGAAGAUAUUAAGUGAUAUUCCUAGUUAGUAUCAAGAUUUUUAGGACGUUUUUGAAAAGAAGAAUGCAUAUAUUCUUUCGGAGCAUUGUCUUUAUGAUUAUACUAUUGAUCUUCAAGAAAGAACUCAACUACCAUUUACACCAAUCUAUAGCCUAUCACAAAAUAAGUUGGUUGCACUCAAAGAGUACAUUGAUGAAAACUUGGCUAAGAACUUUAUAUGCUAUUUUAAAUCUCCAAUCGAAACUCCUAUCUUAUUUGUGAAAAAAUAAAAAGGACAAAUCUCUGUAGAUAUAUAUGGAUUAUCAAGGACUUAACAAGGUCACCAUGAAGAAUAGGUAUCCUCUACCUUUGAUUUCAGGACUUUGUGAUUAACUAAAUCAAGCAAAGAUCUAUACAAAAAUAGAUCUACAAAGAACAUAUAAUUAGUCUGCAUUAAAGAAGGAGAUGAAUAAAAAACUACUUUCCGAAGUAAGUAUGGAUAUUUUGAAUAUAAUGUCAUGCUUUUUGGACUCACAAAUAUACCAGCUACUUUCCAACAUCUAAUGAAUGAUGUAUUUUGUGAGUUUCUUGAUGAUUUUGUCAUUUAUUAUUUAGAUGACAUUUUAAUCUAUUCUAAGAACACAGAAGAGCAUGAAAUUCAUAUUUGUUUUGUAUUACAAAAACUAAGAGAUGCAAGUUUAUAUCCAAAGAUAAAAAAGUAUAUAUUCCACAUUACUCAAGUUGACUUUUUGGGAUACAUCAUUUCCAAUGAAGGCCUUAUAACAGCUCCAAAGAAGAUCCAAAUUAUCAUAGAUUAGAAGAUCUUAAGAAUAGUAAAAGAUGUACAAUGCUUUUUAGCCUUUGCCAAUUACUACCAAAUCUUUAUCAAGAAAUUUUGUCAAGUUGUAGCUCUACUUACAUAUUUGACUUGUAAAGACAAACUUGAGUGGAAUAAAGAAGUAGAAGCAUUGUUUGUUGCUUUGAAGAAAGAAUUUAUUUUUGUACCAACUUUGUAUUGCGUCAAAUUUUUUAAUGCAUUCUUUAUGGAAACAGAUACAUUAGACUUUGCCUCGAAUGAAGUAUUGUCACAAAUUAGAAUAGAUGACAAAGUCCAUCCAGUAGCUUUCUAUUUUAAAAAAUUUCAACUGCCAAGAUUAAUUACGAGAUCUACAAAAAAGAACUUCUUGCAAAUGUGGAUUCAUUUUAAGAAUGACGUUAUUAUCUAGAGGAUACUUUAAAACUUGUUAUAAUAUAUAUAUAUAUAUAUAUAUAUAUAUAUAUAUAUAUAUAUAUAUCACAAGAAUCUCGAGUAUUUCAUACAGGCACAUAUUUUGAAUCGUUGCCUACUUUGUUAGAGCUUGUCAUUAUCAAGAUUUGAUUUCAAGAUUACAUAUCGACCUAGAAAAAAAUAAGAUUUAUCAGAUGUUCUUUCUAAACGCUCUUAUCUUGGAUCGAAAGAAAGAGACAUAUCUUUUGAUCAAGAAAGAACAAUCAUCUUGAAGCGAGAGCAUUUUUAUCUUUGAGCAAUGAAAUUGUCAUUGAUUGUCGAUUUGAGCUUUGUCAAACAAAUUCAAUCAAGUAUGCCCUUUGAUCUUCUUAUUCAUGAUAUCAAAAAUCUUUCUUCCAAGUUUCAUGAUGUUUCAAAGUUCGAGUUCAAGAACAACCUUCUUUAUUUUGAAAGACACAUAUAUAUUCCAGAAGGAAAAGCAUAUCAUGACUUUCCAACAGUAGGAUAUUUUGGAUACAAUAAGUCUUUAGAGCUUAUUUCUAAAGAUUUUUAGAGAUUACAAAUGUGAAAGGUGGUAAAAAAACUUUGUCCAUUCAUGUGACAUUUGUUCAAAAUCAAAAAUUCUUCAUCAUCAAUCCUAUGGACUUCAACCAUUGCCUAUAUCUGAAUAACCAUGGACUUUCAUUUCUAUGGAUUUUAUUAUAGAGCUUUCAAGUUCAAGUUCAUAUGAUUCUAUAUUUGGAAUUGUAGAUUACUUCAUCAAAAUGGUAUAUUUUGUAUCAUGUACAAAAUCUAUUUCAAGUAAAAAAAUAGCUAAGUUUUUCAUUGAUAAUAUCUAUUACUAUCAUGGAUUACCAAAAGAUAUUAUAUCUGAUAGGGAGACUCAAUUUGUAUCAAGAUUUUGAAGAAUCCAAUUUAAGUUUUUAAAAGUAGAUAUAAAACUCUUUUUAGCUUUUCAUCUUCAAACUAAUGGGCAAACGGUAUGGGUGAAUCAAGUUUGGAGUAAUAUUUGAGAUAUACCAUCAACUAUCAUCAACAUGAUUAGAAAACUCUUUUACCAUUAGAAGAGUUUGCAUACAAUAAUUUAGUACAUUUUGCUACUCAAUAAACACCUUUUUUUUGCCAAUUAUGGUUAUCAUCUACAACUUGAUACUUUUGACUUUUAAAAAGUUAAUAAUUUUACAAUGGAAAUUUAACAAAUUGUUUGUUAGAGCUACAUGCAACAAUGAAGACACAAUUUAAAGAAGUUCAAGAACGACAAAAGACCAAGGCGGCUACUUAUCGCAAGGAGCAACCAUAAUUCAAUGUAGAUGAAAAAAUAUGAUUACUUUGUUGCAGUAUCAAGAUUAUUCAUCCUUCUGAUAAGUUGGACUAUUGUAAACUAAGACCAUUUCUUAUUUGUAAACAAAUCAAUCCUGUUGCUUAUUAAUUAUAUCUAUCGGAGUCUAUGAAGAACCACCCUAUAUUUUAUUUAUCCUUUCUUGAGCCAUAUAAGAUAGUAAAUAUCUUGAAAAGAAGACAAAUGCCACCUCCUCCUAUUAAAGUGGAUAAUAAUCAUAAAUUCGAGGUAGAAGAAGUCUUAGAUUCAACGUGAUGCCAAAAUAAAUUGAAAUAUCUUUGUCAUUGGCAUGGAUAUGAUAUUAGUGAAUGCACAUAGGAGCCAACAAAGAAUCUUGCAAAUACAUCAAAGAAAGUUGAAGCUUUUCAUCGACAACAUCCAUCAAAAUGAAGUUGAAGAAUUAUAAAGAUCCAUGAAAGAUGAUGACUGCUCCUCGUCAAACUUAUCCAUAGAAACAAAGGUAAUGUCAUGGACACAUAUAUUUAUCUCAAUAGUUACUUAUAUGAUUAGGUAGAAGUAUGUAAAUAUAGAUUAAUUUCAUAAAAUCUUCUAGCAUAGCUUAUUAGAAGCUGUAUAGAUGCAAUUUUGACUUUAGAUGUGUUUGUAGGUUAGAAACUUAGCCAACAAGUUAACCUUGUGUUGGUAGCUUAUAGAACAAGUUAACUUCAUAUAGUAGCUUGUGAAACAAACUAAUUAUGUAGCACAUACAUAGAUAACUUGCCUUGUAAGUUAAGACAUGUGGCUAACAAAGUCAACACAUAUUGGAGAUCUAAUAGAAUAUUGCCAUGUAGCUCUUAGUUAGAGAAUAUAUAUAUAGAGGCAAGAAUGAAGCCUUCUUCACUCUUGUCAACAUCUUUUUAAUCCUUAGACUUGUUUCAAGACUUUCUAGUCUUUUUGUUUUUGGUAAUAGCCAUUCUAUUUCAAUGUUAUAUCAUCUUUGAGUGACUUUCUACUUCCUUUCAAUAAUACAAGAGUGUAUUGAGGAUUUUCUUUCUUUGAGAUUCUUGUCCAUAAUAAUUUGUACCAAUGAAUAAAAUAUUCUAAUCUAUUUUGGUGUUGCCUUGAAUCUAAGACUUCUUUUAUUUUGAAUAUUUAAUCAUUAGCUAUUUUUAUAGAAGGAUGUGGCAUUUGUCUUCUUCUCAAGAUAUUCACUAUCUUAUAUGGAUUAAGAAGAGACAUGUGAAAUAUAAGAUAGAUCUUUAUAGACUUCAAUAGAUGUAAUCAAUAAGUAAUAGGAUUAACUUAUUCAUUAAUAAGAAAAUAUCCAAGCUUAUGAUAAUCCAACUUAUUACAAGGAAAAAUAAUCUUGAUAUUACAACAAAAUAGCCAUACCUUGUCAUCUAUGAUGAAUUGUGGUUGUUCCUUGCAUUAGGCAUCUACAUUGAUUUUUUGUCAUUUUUGAGCUUCUUUUAAUUGUGCCUUCAUUGUUGCAUGUAGCUAUGACAAAUGAUUUGCUAAAUCUUCUACUAUAGGAUUAUCAACUUUUGAAAAGUCAAAAGUAUGAAGUUAUGGAUAAUAACCAUAAUUGGUAAAAAAAGAUAUUAAUUAAAUAGAAAAAUAUAUCAAGUUAUUAUAUGCAAACUUUACCAAUGGCAAAAGAGUUGUUCAAUCAUCUUGAUGAUAGUUGAUGGUUCAUCUCAAAUACUACUCCAAAAUUUGAUUCAUCUAUUUUAUUUGUCCAUCAAUUUAAGGAUGAAUAGCCAAAUAAAGCUUUAUAUCCACCUUUAAAAUCUUGAAAAGGAUUUUUUAGAAUCUUAAUAUAAAUUGAGUCUCCCUAUUUGAUAUAAUAUUUUUGAACAAUCCAUGAUAGCAAUAGAUGUUAUUAAAAAAAAACUUAGCCAUUUUUUUUUUCAUAUGAUCAAUUUUGUACAUGGUACAAAAUAUGCUAUUUUGAUAAAAUAAUCGAUAAUCACAAAUAUAAAAUCAUACAAGCUUGAGACAUGAAGGUUUGUGAUAAUAUCCAUAGAAACAAAAGACCAUAGUUGUUCCAAAAUAAUUAAUGGCUAGUGAAGUCCAUAAGAUUGAUGAUAAGAAGUUUUGAUUUUGAAUAAAUAUUACAUGAUUGUACAAAGUCUUUAAAUAUCUUUUACAUUAGAGGCCACUAAAAAUCUCUAGAUAUUAGCUCUAAAAUCUUCUUGUAUCAAAAAUGUCUAAUUACUAGAAAGACAUGACGAGCUUAAAGAACAUACUUUGUCUUUUAGAAUAUAUUAUUAUCCCUUAAAAAAAUAGAUUAUUCUUGAAUUCAACUAUAGAAGUAUCAAGAGACUUAGAAGAAUUAUUCUUGAUAUUAUAAAUAAGAUGAUUAAAAGACAUACUUGAUUGAAUUUGCUUCAUAAAGAUUGAAUCAAUAAUCAAUGUUGAUUUUACUGCUCAAAGAUGAAAAUUCUUUGGCUUCAAGAAAAUCAUUCUUUGUUGAUCAAAAGUUGAGUCUUCUUCUUUUGAUACAAGAUAAGAAUAUCUAAAAAGGAUGUUUGAUAAAUUUCAUUAUUUUUCAAAUCAAUAAGUAAUCUUAAAAUCAAAACUUGAUAAAGACAUGCUCCAACAGACUUAGUAAUGAUUCUAAACUUGUAUUGAUAAAAAGUACUCAAGGUUCUUGGGAUUCAAAUAUAGAGUGACUAGAUUAGAAGCACCUUCUAGAUAAUAAAGCCAUUCUUAAAAUGAAUCCACAAUUAUAAAAAGCUCUUUAUCAUAAUUUUUAUAGUUAAUCUCAAUUAUUGAAAAUUUAUUAGAAUAAAAAACUACCUAGUUGAGCUUGUUAUUUGCUACUAUUUGUGACAAAACAACAUCUGUAGCAAAAUUUGAUGCAUUUUUUUCUAUAAAAAAUGCCUUCAAAAAGUCAACAUGAUAUAAAAUUAGUACAAAAAUAAAUAUUGUCUUUAAGGCUUCAAAAGAUGCUUCAAUUUUUUAUUCUAUUUAAGUUUAUCUUUAAAUAUCAAGAGUAUAAGAUGAGCCACAACUUCAAAAAAAUUCUUAAUAAAGAUCUAAUAAUAAUUGGUAAAUCUCAAAAUAAAUUAUAUAUUUUUAAUUAUUUUUAAGAUCUUUCAAUCUAUAAUAGUUUGAAUCUUCUUAGAAUAUAUCAUAAGACCAUCGUUUGAAAUGAUAUAUCUUAAGAAGUCAACUUGAGUAGUGUGAAAUAUACACUUUUCUAUCUUGACAUAUAAUCUUACAUCUUUUAAUUUUUGUAAUAUGCGACAAACAUAAACUUCAUAUUUUUUUAUAUUUUUAAAAUAGAUGAAGAUGUCUUUUAAAUAAAAUACAACAAAAUCAUCAAAAAAAAUUGUAAAAAAAAUCAUUUAUUAAAUAUUUAAAAGUAGCUAGCACAUUCAUGAAUCCAAAAAGCAUGAUAUUAUAUUUGAAAUGUUGAAAUCUAGUUCAAAAUAUAAUUUUUUAUUUAUCUCUUUCUUUAAUGCAUACUAAGUUAUAUGCUUCUUACAUAUCUAUUUUUAUAUAAAUCUUUGCUUGAUUUAAUUAAUCAAGAAGUCUUAAAAUUAAGGAUAGAAAGUACAUAUUCUUGAUGGUGAUCUUGUUGAGUCCUUAAUAGUCCAUACACAUCUACAGAGAUCCAUCAUUCUUCUUCACAAAUAAGAUAGGAGUCUUGAUUGGAGAUUUAAAAUGGCAUAUGGAGUUUUUAGCCAAAUUUUCAUCAAUAUAUUCCUUGAAUACAGCCAACUUGUAUUAUAAUAGAUUAUAGAUUGAUUCAAAUGGUGGUUGAGCUCAUUUUUGAAGAUCAAUGGAACAAUAAUAAGAACAAUGCUUUGAAAGAAUAUUUGUAUUUUUUUUUUCAAAGAUGUCUUGAUAAUCUUAGUAUUGGCUUAGAAUACUACUUGAAAUCUUUUUUCCAUCAACAAUAGAUGUGGCAUAUAUAACAAAAUUUGACCCUUUUUUUUGUAACAUGCAUGAAAGUUCUUAUACCUAUCAAGAAUGGUUUAGAUAUAUAGGUCUUAUAGGUUUCUACUUGCCUAAUAGAAUCUUGGGCUAAACCAUGGAAAAAAUUAAGAUUGCAAGAUAUCUAGUCUAUUGGAGAGUUAUAUCUUUCUAACUACAAUAAUUCUAAAAUAAUUAGGUUAUAUAAAGACUUAAAUAUAUUAAAUAUUAUUAAACUAUUAUAACUAUUAAUUAGUACUUCUACAUGAAUAGUUAUAUGUAUAAUAUUCUCAAAAGAUGAUGAAUAAUUAUCUAUUAUUUCUACAUGCAUAAGUUUGAUUUCUUGGCUAAAGAUAUAUCCUAUUUUUUAACAAAGUCUUUGUCUAUAAAAUUGGCUAAGACUCUUGAAUCCAACAAGACUAAGACUUUGUGAUUUUUUUAUCUUAAAUAAAAAUCUAUUGUAAAAUAAGGUGAAGGAUUUAACGAGAGAAUAAGACCUUUACUAGGAGUUGCACAAGAUUCUAAUUGCACGGUUCAUAUUGUAAUUGGAAAAACUUAUUUUUUGAUAUAUUAUCUUCUUUGGCAACCACGCUUCUUAUUUUAUAAUUGCAUUGUUUCUAUAAACAAUAUUGAGCAAUGCGCUUAGAUUCUCUACAAUAUAGGUACAAAUCUUUUUGACAACAAUAAAAAAAAAAAUUCUCAAAAAGAGGUUUAAAAUGUACCAUAUUAAUUUUUAAUGGUUUUGGCCUUAAUGAAUAUUUUUUUGAAAACUUAAGAGCUACUACCAUCACUUGACUUAUUCCUCUCCGACCAAAUCUUUGUUCUUUAAGUCUUUCAAAUAAUUAAUUGUUCCACAUAAUGGCUUGAGUAAUAAAUUAUAUCAAAGAUUGUACUUUUGGCAUUACUUAUAAUAAAUCUUAGAUGUUAUCCUUCAAUCCAUAUCAAAAUUGAUUAAUAAGAGCUUUAUCAUUCUAAUCCUUGUUAUAAGCAAGGUUUUGGAAUUGAGCAUCAUAUAUGGUAGCUUAUCAUAAUCUUUGUUAUAAAGAUAAGAGCUUGGUCUCUACUAAUCUUUCUCAAUCACUUUCUCCAAAUAUGGCCAUAAAUACUUUUAGAAAUGAAUUCAAAUCAUAAAGGAGUCAUGAAUCCUUUUCGAUCAAAAGUACAAACCAAAAGAGAACACUUCUUAAUAGAAGUGUAUCCAUGAAUUCAACUUGAGUAAAACCAUUAAAAUUUUGGAAGAGAUGCAAUCUUAGAUAGAGCUUGUCUUGUUGUAGAAAUUCUCAAAAUUUUGAUCUUGUUCUAUUAAAUUUAUUAGGCAUAUUAAUCUUUAUCCCAAUUGUACUCGUAAAAAGAAAACUUCUUAGAUUUGGUUGUAAGAUCAAUCUACUUACUUCUUCCUUCAAUUACAUAAUUUCUUAAUAUAGACUUUGAACUACUUUCGUAGGCAUAUAAUUAGUAUUUUCUUAGUUUAUAUUGGUGAUGCAUAAAAUUUCUAUCUAAGAAUAUUAAUAAGUUCAUGAAGAUUUGCAAUAGUUGCAAAUCUAUUCUUACUUUUGUCAAGUGUAGCAUUGAUAAUUUUUCCUUCCAUUUCAAAUAAUUUAACAAAUUCACAAGUUAAAUUAGAGGAAGGUAAUAUGCAACCUUUAAUAUCAAAUGAAUAUUUCUACAAAGAAGGAUAAUCCACUCUUUUUAAAGAAAAAAAUAGUGUUAAAAAACUAAAUAAUUUGUUUACAGGUGGGUAAUUUGCUACCUUCAAAAUGCAACAAUAGAAGUGGGAUAAUUCACUCACUUCUAAAACAAGACAAGAACAAUGAAUUAACACUCUUGUCAAAUUAUCAAAGAUAUGAAUCUUGAAAAAAAAAAAAAAAAAAAAAAAAAAAACUUCAAUACACUCUUAAGUCAUUCAAAAAGACUAAAAAAUCACUCAAAGAUGAUAUAAUAUUAAACUGUAAUGACUAUUGCCAAACACAAAAAGACUGAAAAGUCUGAAAACAAGACUAAAGACUAAAAAUGCAUUGACAAGAAUAAAAAAGGCUUCACUCUUGCCUCCAUAUAUACUCUUAAUUUGGAGCUACAAUGUAAUAUGCUAUAGGACCUCUAAAAUGUGUUGACUUUGCAAGACAUAUAUCUUAACUUACAAUACAAGUUUUUUAUAUGUAUACUACAUAAUUAGCUUAUUUUGUAAGCUACCAAGACGUGGUUAAUUUUUUAAUUAAGUUUCUAACCUAUCAAUCAACUCCAAACAUAUAUAAAGUCAAAACAAUGUUUAUGAAGCUUCUAGGAAGCUUUUUUAGAAAAUAUUAUGAAAUAAAUCUACUUUUAUCUAUUAAUAUUUAAUCAUAUAGAUAAAUAUUAGAAUAAAUAUGUAUAUCUAUGAAAAAUUAUAUCAAUGUAUUGAUCUAUAGUUUGGUGUUUCUGAUACCAAUUGUCUCCUAGUGAAUUUUGUAGUAUUUCUUUUAAACUAGUUAUAGGAUUGUGAGCCCAAGUAUUUUAUUUGCAAUAUCAUAGAUAUACAUAUUUAACCUAUGUAGAUGUUGAUGAUUCUAUAGCAUACAAGUUUCUUUGUAGAAAUCUUAAAUUUAUAGAAAUUCACUAUAACACACAAAUCUUUGUAUUAAUUAACUAUAUUUUUUAUUCUUCGAUUUUGACUUAUUUUUUAUCUUAAAAGUAUGAUCAUAUUCUAAAGAAAUUUUUAUAUUCAACUUAGAUAUUAUGAUAGGUAUGAGUAGUGUUGUUAUAUUUAAUGUUGAUAAUAUUGUAUCUUUGGUUCAAAUCUACUAAUCCUUAGCAUCCUCAAGAUUGUAACUUAUACAAAUAUAUAUUGAAAAAUAUUUCAAUUGUAAAUGUAUGUAUUGAAAAACACACAAAAAAAUUAUGUAAAUAUAGAAAUUUUAUAUAUGUAUAUAAAUAUAAAUUUAUUCAUAUCAUAAUUACUUAUUUUUUUAAUAAAUAAUGAUAAACUUUACUAAUAUAAAUUUUGUGUAUAAAUAGUCAUCAUUAUUGGAUAAAAAUUUAUCAGAAGCUGAAGAAGAAAAAAUAAAGAAAAGGAAAAAACAAACAAACAAACAAAAGCUAUAGAUUGUUCAAUCAAUAUACAAUUGUUAUUGUGAUGUAAAUAGUGAUGAAUAUAUUAUACAAAAAAAAAAUAGAGAAAAAAUUAUUGUAUUUAUGAUCAUAAAAUAAAUUGAAUGAAAAUAUUAGAAUUAACUUUUGAAUCAUCAUUUUAAAUUGGCAUUUUUUUCAAAACCAAGUAAAUAUUUUAUAGAAUAAAUAGAUAUUUUUUUAUUACAUUUGCAAUCACCUAUUUUAUAUUAUUCUAUUAUCAAUUGAUUGAAAAAGAAAUAAUACUCAUUGAAUCUAUAUAUAUAUAUAUAUAUAUAUAUAUACAAACACAAUCUCAUACUAUAAGUAAAAUAUUAAAACAUGUUAAAAUUUAUUUAAUAAUUAUGUCAAUCAAAAGCUCUCAUCAAAAGUGGAAUUAAAUAUUAGAAGAGAUUGAAUAAAAUAUUGUUGAUAGUUCAAGAAUCAUAAUAAUAAAAAUGAGUUUUUUGCAAGUAUGACUUUCAAUGAGCCUUAUAACAAAAAGAAAUAUUGUAUCAAUUUUCUAACAAGAAUUCAUUGCAAAGUAAUGACUUCAAAUACACAAAUACUUUUGUCUCUCUCUCUCUCUUUUUCAAUCACUCAUUAAUCCAUUGAUCUCCACCUAUCUACAUAAGAAGCUACAAACACACAUUAUAUAUAAAGAAGAAACUUAAUACAAGAUACGUAUUGCAAUAUUGUCAUGAUUGAUUACUAGUUGUAGCACCAAGAGAGAAUGCAAGACAAAUGUGACAUUACAAGCAGUGACACAUACAUGUCCAUACUCAAGGCUAUUGUACAAAGAAAUGAGUCAUUAACUGCGACAAUGGAUAGGAUGCUGUGGGAGAGAGAAUUGUAUGUUAUGCAUUAUUGGGCAGUUGUAACAUUUUUUUUUUUUUUUUUUUUUUUUUUGACAAUUUGCCAAGAAUGUAUAUCAUGUGAGAUUUUAUUUUAUUUUAUUUUAUUCCCUAUUCACACACUAAAUCACAAAAGCCACUAUUUAGGCCCAAAUGAAGAUAAAAAUAUUAAUGGAACUAUCAGAUUUCUAAUAUCUUAUCAAGGUGGAGGAUAUAUUUGCUAUUAUCAAUAAUUUUAAGAAUAUGUAUGCUAUUAUCAUCAAUUCUAAAAAUGUAUAUGUUAUCAUCAAAAAAAUUAGAAAUAUAUGCUAUUAUCAAGAGUAUAGGGAUAUUCUUGAUAUUUUGACAUAUUUAAGAGGUACAUAUAAUAUUUUUCCUAAAAUAUAUAAUAACUAUUAAUUAAUUUGUCUUAUUUUUUUUGUAAUAGUAUUAGAAUUUAAGAUAGAUUUUUAUUUUUUAAAACUUAAAUCAAUAUAAUUGAUCCAACUUUUAAAUUAAAAAAAUUAAGUUAGCUAACAUCUUUUAAAAAUUAAAAAAUAAUACUUCUCAUAUUAUGAUUAAAAUCCAAGAAUUGUAAAAGUAUCUAAAAGAUGAUAUUACUUAAAGAAUUUUAGUGAUUAAAGAAUAUUUUAAUAAUACUCUAAUAUUGUCUAAGAAAAUUUUGUGAAUUUUCUUAAGAAAUGUAUUAUCUUCUCUAUUUCUUUCUACAUACUUCUACUUAUUUCAAUUUAUUUUAAGUGCUAUAAGUAUUGAUUAUAAAUACAAAGUAGCAUAAAAAAAAAAAUUUAAAAAAUAAAAACUUAUAGCAAUAAAUUAUUUAUUAUGCGAUUCAUAUCCAAAUAUUGUUUAUUUCAAAUGGUUAUAUCAGCACUUGAUUAUCUAUAUAGCUAAUUAAAAAUUUAGGCCUUAAUUUUGUCAUAACUUAUAAAUAAAUAUAAUUAUAUUUAAUAUAUAAUUAUGCUAAGUAAAAAGUUGGAUAAAAAUUUAUUUUUUGAAUUACAAAUAUUUUUAAAAAUUAUUAAGGAAGAAAAUUUAUUAUAAAUAUAGUUUAAAAUUAAAGAUUUGUAAACAAAACAAUAAAUACACUUGAGUCUUUAAUCAUAGAUGCCUAUUUAAUGAUGAAAAUUGAUAUUGAAUAAGAAGAUGGAAAAAAUGACGUGAAGAAAAUCAAAAUUUUAUAAUGAUAAAAAUAAACAUAGUAGUAGUAAUAAGGUAAUGAAAGAAUAUUAACUAAAAAUAUUAUCUUGUAUCAUUCAUAUUCUAUCAGAAUUAAAAAUUACAUAUUUUUACAAUUAAAUAAUAAAUAAAUAAAUAAAUAACCCUAAAAUUUAUUAGUACUAUUGACUAUAUCUACAUAUGCAAACCUACAUAUAAAUGCACAUUACAAGUCAAGAGAUGUUUUUACUAAUUUUCAUUUUACACCAUUCUAAACAGCUUUGUUUUUGUCCAAAAAAAUGUUCCACCUCUGUCUAACCUUCUAUGUCACCAUUCAAACAUACUCAACAAGGAAAAAGACCAUUUUGGAAGAGAAUAAAACAAACCAAAGCCUAACAAAAAAAAAAAACAACAACAACAAAGUAAAAACAAAAACAAGACGAGCUCUUAACAAAUAGUCCUUAGCAACCUUCAUGUUCCAUCAGCCAAUCCAUCAAUCAAUCAACACAUUGUUUUCCAUGCACUCUGCAGCAAUAGUUCAGCCACUUUGUGUCUAAAUCAAGCAUAAAUAUGCACAACAUAUUAAAGCAUAUUCGACGCCGUUCAUGCAAAAUGAGUCGUAGGUGACGCCGAGCACCUGAUUUAUCCACCUCACCAUGAAUUCUCCAGCUUCUCAUCACCACUGCAACUCCCUAAACAACCCAAACCUGCUCGUGUUCGACGUCGAUCGACAACACUCCGGUUCAUCUCAUCACAUCACUCUCAUCUUCACAACUCUCGCAACUCUCCAGCUAUGGGGCGU